RNAcentral lists this long non-coding RNA (48121 nucleotides) under Nicotiana benthamiana. RNAcentral describes it as "long non-coding RNA (NBEN_LNC014403)". Lineage: Eukaryota; Viridiplantae; Streptophyta; Magnoliopsida; Solanales; Solanaceae. The record is from RNAcentral.
GUAAGAAGGGAUGGGAACGACGGAACUUGUGAAUGCAAAAUAUUCUAUUGAAAAAGGAAUCUUAAUGAUUCAUUGGUCGGGAUGGCGGAAUGAACCAGAGAUUAAUUCAUGUAUUCGGAGAUCUGAGAAGUCACGAGUUAACCCUACAAAUGAAAUAGGGAUUGAAAGAGUCAAUAUUCGCCCGCGAAAACUUUUUUUAUUGCAAAAUUUAGGACAAUACAAUAAAGGACAACAUAAGAAUUUGGUAUAAUAAUACAAUUUUCUUUUUAGAUUUCUAUUUAUAAAACUCAAAAAUUUAGUUAUCUAUUCAAACAAGAUAUAAAUAAACCAAGAUUUUACCAUGACUGCAAUUUUAGAGAGACGCGAAAGCGAAAGCCUAUGGGUCGCUUCUGUAACUAGAUAACUAGCACUGAAAACCGUCUUUACAUUGAUGGUUUGGUGUUUUGAUGAUCCCUCUGACUCGGGUUCACCAAUUGAAUCGCGGCGCAUUGAACAAGCUACUUCAAAUUAGAGUCAAGCUGUGAGGGUUAGGGGUGGACAUAAAAUUCGAAAAACCGAACCGAACCGAAUUAAUUCGGUAUUUUGAUUUUGGUUUUUUCGAUAUUUCAAUCUAAUUCGGUAUUGCAUUUUCGGUAUUUCGAUACGGUUCACGGUAUUAGAAUUUUGAAAUUUUGUUAUACCGAAAUACCGAAAUUUUAAAGCCUUUUUGGACCCUGCCCAACCCCAAGCCCAAUUUUAUAAUUUAAUUCACAACUUCCCAUCGCCCCACCCCUACCCCAAGCCCACACUCUAAUUUCGUAGAAUUCGUCAUGGUUAUUCCUACUCCUGCUUUCUUUUAAGACAAAACAGUAAACAACAUGACAUUAAGGGUGUGUUUGGUAUAGCGGAAAAUAUUUUUCGUGGAAAAUAUUUUUCAAGAAAAUAUUUUUUCGACUUGGUAAACAAGUACUAAUCUUAUUCGUUUUUCAGUGUUUGGUAAGUAAAAUAAGAAAAAUGAAUUUCAAGAGUAUUCGUAAAUAAUUUAGAUAUAAUAAACAUGAAGUCAUAAAUUUUUCAAACUAGCUAACAACCUUCUGAACUCACAAAUUUCAUAAACUUUCGAAUCGCUAAACUUUCAAAAUCGCGAAAUUUGAACCUGUAAACUUUAUAAUUUCUAAACCCGUAAACAUCCAAACACAUAAAUCUCCGAACUCAUAAUUUUGGAACUUGUAAAAAUUUGAAUCUUUAAACAGUUAAAUAAAAAAAAAAAAUUGAAAAAUAUUUUUUCGGAGGGGAUGAGGAAGGGUGGGGGAGUAAGAUAAAAAUCGAAAUUUAAAUUACAAAAAAGGUAAAAAAAAAAAUUCUAUGUGGGAANNNNNNNNNNNNNNNNNNNNNNNNNNNNNNNNNNNNNNNNNNNNNNNNNNNNNNNGUGGGGUGGGUGAGUGGUUACGGAAAACUGACUUUUUUUUUUUAAUUAAAAAGCCUUUUUUGGAGAGAGGAUGUGGUGGGUUGGUGAGGGUGAGGAAGGUUGAGAGGGAGAUUUGGAAAAUAUUUUCCAUUUUCUUGAUAAUGAAAACAUUUUCCUCCAAUUUGAGGAAAAUGAGUUAUAAGAAAAAUGUUUUCCAAAACAUUUAACCCAACCAAACAGAAAAAUUGGAAAACAAUUUUCGGAAAAUAUUUUCCUUCAUACCAAACACACCCUAAAAGGUAAGCUUUGAUACAGAGCAGAAUACAUGACGAACCCCUUUGCAUACAACUCGUGCUAAACAUUCUGCACAACAUCUGCAAAAAAGCACUUACACUAUUUACACACACUAUCACAAGACCACAGAGAACAUUCUCAACCAGAAAAAUGUCAAGGAUGUCAACUACAUUCAGCCGCCUCAUGAGGGGUAACAAAAAAGAAAACCUAACUUACAUCUCACAGGUCGUAAGUAGGACGAGGGCUUGUGCCGCCAUUAUCUGACCUCUUUUUUCCCAUGUUAUUGCACUUAAAUCAUUAUCCAUCUUUGUGUUGCUUAUUUAGAAAAUAUUAAGUCGAACCGUACCGAACCAAAAUAAUAAAUAUCGAACCGUACCGAAAUAAUUUGGUACGGCAUUUGGUAUGUACAAUUGAUCAAUCGAAUACCGAACCGAAAUUCUUAAAUACCUAACCGAAAUACCGAAUGCCCGCCUCUAAUGAGGAUUUAUCGAAAAUAGCGUCUUUAUAUUUGUAAGGUCUGCAAGAUUUAACAUUUUGAUUUAGUUAAAUUAAUNNNNNNNNNNNNNNNNNNNNNNNNNNNNNNNNNNNNNNNNNNNNNNNNNNNNNNNNNNNNNNNNNNNNNNUAUAUAUAUAUAUAUAUAUUAACUAUACAGCAUAACUGAUCAAUUUCAUCAUAUGUGGCUACGCCACUACCCCUUGGUAAAAACUUAUUCGCACCGAUUAUUUACACCAAACCGAUAAAAACAUAACAUGUUUCUUGUAUAUGGACUUUAAUUAUUUAACCAUAGUAAAUUACUAAAUUAUAUAUAUUCUUAUCUAAUUAAAUUAGUUAACCAUAAUUAAUUAAUAUAAUUUGGUGUACCUUUCCCAUAUUAUAUUUGUGGAUUUGUAUAUAAAUAUUGUUGUUGUUAUUGUUAUUAUACCAAAGAGACAAAAGUAUUUACGGAUCUAUGAUGUAGAUAAGUAUUCUUUUAAAACAUUCUGUUUGGCAAAAUUAAAUCGCUAAAACUACCUGCACCGAUGAUUAACGUAAGAUAUUUUUUAACACUAACCUAAGUGGUAGAAACUGUCAAAAAGUUUGACUAUGGAGCAGAGUGAGCAAUGACCAAACCAAGUUUUACAGUACCAAAUAGAGUAAGUGUCAACACAAGAAAGCGGUAAAGAAAAAGUUAAAAAAUACUUUUACCUACAUCUACUCCUAGAUUUUAGUAACUAAGUGCUAGUAAAACUCUCUAAAUUCUAGUAAAAAAAAAGUUAAAAAAUACUUUUACCUACAUCUACUCCUAGAUUUUAGUAACUAAGUGCUAGUAAAACUCUCUAAAUUCUAUACUAUAAACUUUCCUCUCCAUUUUCGCUCUCUGCAUCUACCAUUUUUUCCACUUUGUUCAUCAACAAACAAACAGACCUAAAUUGAUUUGAGAGUAUUUUUCUUCUUCUUUUGUCUUAUGAGAUGACAGGUUAUAGAUUACCAACGAUGAAUAAUAAUAUACGGAUCAGUACUAUUUCAGUUUCUCCGGCGUUGGUGUCGGUGACGGGAACUGCCGGAGACCCAUUAAAGUCGAUGCCGUUUUUUAGCGUCGAGUCGCUGCAACAGCGACUCCAGACAUUAAUAGAGGGGGCUCGUGAAGCGUGGACGUAUGCCAUAUUCUGGCAAUCGUCCGUCGUGGAUUUUGCGAGACCUUUGGAGUUGAGAUGGGGUAAUGGGUAUUAUAUCGGGGAAGAAGACAAGAAUAAGUGUAAGACGACGUCGUUUUCACCUUAUUUUAUCGCGGAGCAAGAACACCGGAAAAAAGUUCUCCGGGAAGUGAAUUCUUUAAUUUCCGGCACACAAACUAGUAGUGAAAAUGACGUUGUGGAUGAAGUGGUAACAGAUACUGAAUGGUUUUUUCUUAUUUCAAUGUCCCAGUCCUUCGUUAACGGUAGCGGGCUUCCGGGCCAGGCAAUGCAUAAUUCAAGCCCGAUUUGGGUUACUGGAACAGAGAGAUUAGCUGCUUUUAACUGCGAACGGGCCCGACAGGCCCAAGGAUACGGGCUUCAGACUAUGGUUUGUAUUCCUACAACUGAUGGUGUCGUUGAGCUCGGGUCAACUGAGUUGAUAUCCCAGAGCUCAGAUUUGAUGGACAUGGUUAAAGUCUUGUUUAACUUUAACACUGAUAUGGGCUCGCCUACGGGCUUGGAAUCGGGCUCAUUUGUUCGAUCUGAGCCCGAUCUGUCAGCCCUUCGGCUUACGGAUUCGUAAAGGAUUCGUUGAAUACAACUUCUUCAAGUAACAGCAGUAAGCAAAUUUUGUUUGGAAAUGAGAAUUUUGAAAGUGGUCAUCAAAAUUCUCAGCAAACACAAUCAUUAUUAUUUUUUUACUAUGGAGUUGAAUUUUUCUGCAUAAUGGAAGUAAUAAUUCCCAUUUUCAUUUCCAUUCGUAGUAUUACUUCCAUCAAAUCUUCGAACAAUGAAGAAGUCGACCAAAAAUGUUAGUAUUUUUUUUUCUUUUUAUUUGUUGUUUGCUUUCCUAUUCAAAUUGCACUUGCAUUUAUUUUAUACGACUAUAAUAAUAUUUGACGUUUAAAUAUUUUUUGACGAAUAAAAAUUAUUCUAAACAUAUAAAAGAUAAAAAAUUACUCAAAUUUAAAAUGCCAAAAUAUAUUCAUAUUUCACUAGUUAAAUAUUGAAGAAAGUUAAUACGUAAUUAAUAAAUUCAUAAUUAAAAGUAUAAAAAUUUAAACUCUAAGAAAAAUAUUUUAAAACUACCUAAAAAAUCAAAAUUAAUGGAAGAACUCUGUAAUUGCAACUUGAAUUGGCGAAGAUUCGCAUCUAAAUUUUCAACAAAAAAGUAUCUAGUAACUUUCCCUUAAAGAUAAUGUAAGAGUUUAACAAUUAAACUUUCUAUCUAAAUAUUUUUUGUUGAAUUUUAUCUAAUAAAAAAGAUACUCAUCUGCAAAUGUUCACGAUACUCUUCAAGAUUGAUGUGGUUAAUUUUACAAUUAUAUCAUGAUACUCUUCAAAAGGGAUAAGAAGGAUGGUUAAAUGCAUUUUUUAAUGUUUGGUACUGAGGUUACACAUACCUUAUUUUUCUUUAAAUAUCAAUCAAAGAUUACCAACACGUGAUUGAUUUUAUACAUUUUAUCUCCCUAUUAUAUUGUCUGCCACUCUUGUAUAUGGGUAAAAAACAUAUAAGGAACUCAUUGCAGUAGCCUAAAUAGUGAGCCGCCAACGAGAGUAAACCUAUUUUCUGUUUAGUCAAUUUUAUAAAGAAUGAAUUCUUUUUAAAUUUAACAAUAAUUUAAAUUUAAAAUUAUAAUGCUUUUAUCUUUAAUGAAAUAAUUUUUAAUCACAAAAAUAUAUAUGAAUUACUUUGGAAGAUAAGUUUCAAGGGUUUUCUUUUUCUUCUUAAACUCCGUAUUCAGUCAAAUUAGUUACACAUUUUCUUAUAAGAAUUUAAGUUAUAUACAUAGUAAGUUUUUCUAUUUUUCCAAAAUAAUUAUACUUUUAUACUCUUAUUACAACUUAUAUACCAAGGAUGUGGUGGGAUAAAAAAGAGACUCCUUUUUAACAAGAUAUCUGUGUUUCCUGUAAAUGAAGAAAUUCUUACUAGAGAACAUUUCCUUCUUUAAUGCGUCUUAUGCGGCAUGAAUAUGAGAGAAAAUGCACAAACAACCAUUUGUAGGACUUUUAUUUAAAAGAAUUCCUGAAUAUUAUAAAAAAGUAAAUAAAAUUUAGUCGCGUUUUCAGACCGUCAGAUUUGUAAUUUAAAUUGCAAGAGUCGAACAUUAAGCCUUUGGAUCUAAUUACACAUUGUAUUUUUACAUAAGCGUCUACAAUUAUUAGAAAACUCAUCAAUAUAUACAAUUAAUCUUUUUACUUUUAUGUCUCUACUUGAUUGAAGAUUCUUGUUUGUAAUUCUCGAGAGAAUUUCUUUCUUUUGUUUAUUGAAUAUUGCAUUUCAAUUACCUUUUAUUCUUUUAUUUUUGAAAAAUUAAAGUAAACUUGGAUAUUUGAAACGCGAUUUACUUUGACUUUGAUCAUAAAAACCACUUUUUGAUUAAACAAACAGUUCCCUUAAAAUUGAUUUCCUAGUGUGUUUCUACGGGUAAAUUUGGGUAAACUUCUGAGAUCAAUGAGCUUCGAAUAUUGAUUGGGAUGAAGUGCACAAUAUAUUUAAAGAUAGUCAAUUCAUCUAAAUUUCAGAACUAAAAUUCCUGAAUUUUUAUAUCCUAAAUUUUGAGUUUCUAAUUUGAAAUUUAAGACUUAGUGCCCCAAAAAAUUAUUAGCUGUUAAUUUAUCAUUCAGGACUAAGUGACCUAAAAUUUUUAAUUGCUAAUUUAAAAUUAAAGAUAUAAAUUCUAAUUUCUGUAUACAAUAUUUGAACUUUAAGAUACAAUGUUCAAAAGUAUGAAUUCUAAGAUUUAAACUUCAGGGUUCAAACUUCAGAAUGAUUAAACGAAUUGGCUAAUCUUUGAAUAAAUUAAAAACUAUAAAUAUAUUUUAAAUUUUAGGCUUAAAAGUGGCUGUCUGGUGUCCUUUCCACCUUCAAUUGUCAUAAAAAAAUCUUCUACUUUCAAAAUGUUAUAAAUAGAAUUCUAUUUAAGGUGAAUGUCUAUAUUCUAGAGAGAUUCUAGGAUUUAUUACUUGGUGGCUAAUUCACCCUCUCCCUAUAAAUAGAGGGUUCUAUUCCAUUGUAAAUUAUCCCAAAAAGCAAUAAGAAUUCUCUCUCUAGUUUGCUCUGCAAUACUCUUCUUCUUCUUUUAUUAUUUCAUAAUACGUUAUCAGUACAAGACUCUAACCAAUUGAGUGGAAGCUUUGGGAUUGAGCAUAAUAUGGACAUGACAAUAGACGAAUAAAUUAUAAUCGACAUCAUUACUCAAUGAGAAUAAUAUGGAUUCUCAAAAUAAUCCUUCACUUUGUGAAAGUAAUAUUUGUCAUCAAUUUGACGUGAGAUUUUACAAAGCACAUAUAGAUGAUUAUGGUUCAUUCAUGAUGUGAAUAUGACAACAUGUGAUUUAUGAACACAUAUUCAUUAUUGGAAGAAUAUGAACGUGCUAGUGGUAGUGAAUAUUAUACACUCACCUCUAGAGGAAUGUUUAAGAUGAAAUAAGAAAAUAAUGUCAUUAUUAUGGCAUGAAUGGUAAUUGGUCACGUACCUAUUGUACGCCAAAAUAUUUUUAAAAUGUGAUUAUUAAAAGACAAUGGUAAUGCAAAAAGUGGAUCUUGCAUAUAAUUUGACCAUGACCACAAUAGUAUAACUUUUUCUUUAAAAGAUAUAUUCUUCACAUAGAUGUUGAUAAAUCUAUGGUAGUACUAAAGUAAUUGAGAGCUCUCGAAGAGCCAAUUAUUACUAUGUUGGAAAAACACAAUUGAUUACCAAUAAGGUAUUGUGUUGCAGUAAAUCUCAAAGAAAUUUAUUUAGUUUCUAAAGUAUAUGCAAAAGCAGUUGUCACGGCCAAAACCCCGCUCCGGUCGUGAUGGCGCCUCUUGUAAAGACAAAGCCAGCCAACACAUUUAAACAACCUUUUCAACAAUAGAUAAACAAAAAUAACAGUUUCAACUAUAAUUUAGUGACAUUAUUUAGCGGAAAUACAACCCAACACAGACCUAACCGGGGUGUCACAAGUCACGAGCAUCUAAAGGAGUCUAAAAACAUUUACAAGAAUAGUAGUAUACAUUAUGAAAUUUAAAGUCAAAAGGGUAUAAAAUCCGGUGCCGCGCACGCUGGCGGCCACCUGGCUUAGCUAUGUUUGCAAAUCUUCAAUCAGCUCAAAACCCGCUACCGGGUAACAAAUCUACAUCUGCACACGAGGUGCAGGGAGUAAAGUGAGUACUCCAACUCAAUGAGUAAUAAAAGUAAAUAAUAACAGAGCAGUAAGAAAUCACGUAAAACAUAUCUUCAUGCCGUAUAGAAGCAGAGAAAAACUCUUCAAUUGAGAAAAGUCAGUGAAAUCCAUGAAAAUAUUUAGAAAUAUUCUGGCUCAGUUUUAAAUCUCUUUUGAAAAUGAUCCUUUCAAUAGUUGCGAAAAUAAUUAAUAAUCAGAAAUCUGCCCCUCGGGCUCAAUAUCAACCUCUCAGUACAGUAUCAGCCACACUGACUCACUCCCAACUCACAAAGUACAACUUCAGCCUCUCGACUCACAAUUAUCACCAGAGUAUUUGGUAAGCAGUACAAGAAGUAGCAUGGAUGCCAAUAAAAUAGGAGUGCUGAAUGUCUUGACAAGUAGUACAAAUAGGAUCAAAUGCAUGAAUGCAAUGCAUAUGAUGGUACAUUCCAGUACCCACAGCUGCGUACAGCUCGAGCCAUCCAUAUUUAUUUACCGUCGAUGGCCCUCACUAGGGGUGUGUACAGACUGCAGAGGGGCUCCUACAGCCCAAGCGCCAAUAUCUAGGUCAAUCAUUGUUACCUGACCGAUCAACAAUUGUUACGUAACCAAUUUACAUUAUACACAGUGCCAUUGUUACCACUGUUUCAAGCCACAUCAUACAGUGUCAUUGUUACCAUUGUUUCAAGUCACAUCAUACGCUAUCGUUGUUACCAUUGUUCAAGUUACAUCAUGCAGUGUCAUUGUUACCACUGAUCCAAAUCAUUGCUCGGUCCAGAAAACAAUAUAAGCUCCAUGGGAAUUUAUAAAACAGUAGUUCUCAUCCCGAAAUAACAUUUAAAAUACCAUUUGAGUUUUCAAAACUUAGAAAUAUGGAUGAGUUCGCAAAAUAGAAUUUAAAACCUUGGACUGAGACCAAAUGAUAUGCAAAAUAUGCUAAACAGUAAUAUCAAUCCCCGAAGGAUUCUACAAGUCGGCCUAAGGUCCCAAACAUGGUAACGAGCCCAGUAAAUAUCAAUAAAGUAUGUGUAUCAAUCACUAGUAUAAUAUAAAUAUCACACGGGAUGGACCAAGUCACGAUCCAAAAUAGUAACCGACCCCGCACUUGUCAUGGAGUGUUUAAUAUCAAUAAAGUAUGUGUAUCAAUCACCAGUAUAGUAUAAAUAUCACACGGGAUGGACUAAGUCAUGAUCUCCAAUAGUAUCCGACCCUGCACUCGUCAUGGAGUGCGUGUCACGCCUCAAUAUAGCGUUACGAUGUGAAAUUCGGGGUUUCAAACCCUCAGGAUAUCAUUUACAAGCAUUACUCACCUCGAAUCGGCGAAAUCUCUAGCCCACGAUGUCUUUGCUCCUUAAAUCAGCCUCCACGAGCGUCGAAUCUAUCCAAAUUCAGAGCGAAUACAUCACAAUAUGCUAAGGGAAUAAAGCAAAAGUAAAAACAAUCAAAUUCGGGCACAAAUCCCAAUAUUACCAAAACCCGAGCCCUGGACCCACAUUUCGAAACUCACCAAUUUUUACAUAUUUAGAUUUCUCAUCUUUCCACGAGUUCAUAGAUACCAAGAAUGUCAAAAUCGGAGUUUAAAUGACCCAUCAAAUCCUCAAUUUAAAAUCUCAAAACUCAAGCCCCAGUUCUUCCCAAAUUCCAUCUCAAAUCACUAAUUAAAUGAUGAAUUCAAUGGUAUAUUCAUGUAUUCUAACCUCAUCUGAGUUAAAAUCACUAACCCCGAUGAAUUUCUUGAAAAACCUUCGAAAAAUCGCCAAAACCCGAGCUUUAUAGGUCAAAAUAUCAAAUAAAACCCAAAACCUUUACCCUGAUGCAUGUCUUGAAAAACCUUCGAAAAAUCGCCAAAAUCCAAGCUCUAUAGUUCAAAAUAUCAAAUAUAACCCAAAACCUCGUAUUCAUAGAGUACCCCUCCGAUUCAAACAGCGCUGACCGCAGAAAAAUGACCUGCCUCGUGCCCAGGAAGCGUGGUCCGCGCAAAAAUGGUUGCGACCGCGCAGGAAUUUGACUGUAGUGAUAAGCUUCAGUAUUUUGGUUAUAACUUUCUCUACAAAUGUCCAAACUACGAAUCAUCUCAAAAUUCCUUGUAAAUCAAAAAAUAUGAGCUUCCGAAGUAGGACCAGUAGCCUGCAGAUUCUUCCCGUGCGCAGCCGCACACCCAGCGCGAGAAGGAGCGCGGUCCCCGCCGCCAGUGCUGCCCCCUCCAUUUUUCUAAGUUCCAGGGUGUCCGUACUCGCUCAAAAUUCACUCGAAACACACUCGAGGCCCUCAGACCUCAACCAAAGGCAUCAACAAGUCUGAAAACACAUCACGAACUUAGUCGAGACCUCAAAUCACAUCACAUAUCAUCAAAAUUACCAAUUAUGUAUGGAUUCAAGCCUAAGAACUUAUUAAGUUUUCAAAUUUCACAACCGAUGUCGAAACACGUCAAAACUAGUCCGAAUGACCUCAAAUUUUGCAGACAAGUUCAUAAUGACAUAACGAAGUUACAGAAACUCUCAGAAUUCUAUUCCGACCCUCGAAUCAAAAUCUCACCUAUCAACCGGAAUUCACCAAAAUACUAAUUUUGCCAAUUAAAGCCUAAUUCUACACCCUCCCUCCAAAACUACUUCCGAUCACUCUCCUAAGUCACAAAUCACCUUCUAAAGCUAACCGAAAUGUCAAAACUCACAUCCGAACCCUCUAACACAUAAGUCAACAUUCGGUUGACUUUUCCAACUUAAGCUUUCUUAAAAGAGACUAAGUGUCUUAUUUCUUAUCAAAACCACUCCAAAACAACUCGAUACAGAUAAUGAAGCAUAAAGAAGUUGAAAAUGAGGAAAAAGGAGCGGUAACUCAUGAGACGACAGGUUGGAUCGUCACAUCCUCCCCAACUAAAAGAAACGCUCGUCCUCGAGCGUACCCAGAGUUGUUCUAGAAGCCAAACACUAGCUGAAUAACCUUAUCUCUCAUCUACCUUGGGGUGAUCCCACGUCAUGACAUGUCGGAUCGUCACAUCCUCCCCAACUUAAAGAAACGGUCGUCCUCGAGCGUACCCAGAGUUGAUAUUGAAGCCAAACACUCGCUGAAUAACCUUAUCUCUCAUCUAACUUGGGGUGAUCCCACGUCAACCUAUCUCAUAUGGGUUCGACAACACAUUGUUUGUGAAAUUUUUGCAAUCCCACCUAGCCCAUAAGCCACAGGGCACAUUUUUUUUUAUCUUUCAUAUGAUUAGAAUCCCACAGUUAUAUUGUGAAUAAGCUGAACAAGCUUCAAUAACCUAUACCUGAAACCUCAAGUGAAAUUACAUGACCUAACGCAUGACUCAAACGCUCGCAGUGAUAACUCCCAUUAACGGCAACUGCACACAAUGCCUGAAUACCGGUAGAACACCUCUUAACAACUCAAGUUUCUUUUCAAUUCUUUUAUAUAUACUGCAACUGAUAACUAAAACACGAAGUAAACUAUCACCAUUUAUUGGUCAACUAUUCAUGGAACCACUUCUCCUUUGGAAAAUACUACAUCAAAUUUCUAAGUCGAAGUUCGAUAUUAUCUUUCCAACACACUGAAAUCUAAUCUGCUCCUACUCAUUAAAGAUCUCAAUGAUCUCAUUUAAUUAGCACACUACUCUUGUGAUAUUACACAUUCAUACAGGACUAAGCCACAACUCAAAGUCAACAAAACCGUCUCGAUGCUGGUCAUAUAUCCAUAUAGGUCUACCAAUGGACGACACAUCAACUCCAGUUACUCACAACAAAUAAAAUAACCCUUCGAAGUUCCACACUGAAUAGAUCAUAACACGUACUAAUAUCUGACUAACUUACCCACAUUUUUCCAUCCACAAUCGCAAGCUAACAUGUAUAUGAGAACUCCAGUCUCCAAGUCCAUAAAACACACGAAUUACCAUAUAUGAUCCCACUUCUGCUACUCUCUUAUAUAACUCACCUCUAGUUCCUAGUUAAAUCAGGAGAGAUACUCUAAAAUUCUUCUACGCCACCCAACAAGCUUGAAUAUCAGUAGUCGAUCUAUCUUGAAAGUGCCACACUACUACUAAGUGCCAUUUACUUAAUCACAUUGCCCUUUUUCUUUGAAACAUAUAAUCUCAUCAAAUCAUUUCCAACUAGCGGUACCAUUUCCUUAGUUAUUUGAGGCUACCCGCUGCUAAGAGUUUUAUAAACUCCCUUUCAGAACUGAACUGAACCAUACACACGCUAAUCUCGAUCCUCCACUAUAUAUCACACAUAACAUACCAUUCUUGUAUAAUAUGAGAACUUUAUCUCCCUUCCGAGCCACAAGAAUCUACGUACUCAACUAGUCCAGAAGUUUCAUUUAUCCUUUUUAGAAGAAGAAUCACGAUACAUCCCAUGUCUCUCUUAUCCGUAGAAAAUGUACCUCUUCAACCACGGUAGAAACCAUCAAGGACUCUCCGAUUUACCAUUGCACAAAUCAGACUUUCCCGGAUUGAAUCCUUCUAACUCAACCAAGCUAAGCAAGCCAUCAAAACCUAAGAGCAUUGCUGCAAAAAUACUUGUAAGGGAUCAUUACCCUGAACACAUACGAAGAAUUAAUCAUAUCCUUACCAUACCGAUUCGGUCUACUAUCAAGAUAUUCCCUCUAUCUAAUUUCCCUUCCGAUUCAUCAUAAACUUGAUGUUCCCCCUUGCUGUAGCACAUCAGUUCCUUAACCCAGGCUCACUACACGAGACUCGAGAACAAGACCACACUGUCUCAGACCCAUAAGCCACUGAAUCCUCUCUCAAAUAUUCCCAGAAACACCACAUUCCAAAAUACUCUACUAUGAAGAACUUCCUCCGAAUCUAAGUCUGUUACCUUUACUUUCCAAAUACUGAUACAUAUAAUCCCUUAAUUAACAUAAAAAUGCCACAAGUCUUGACCUUUUCUUAACAUAGCCUCUGACCACAUACAAAACCUUAUGACACCUGAUGGUUACAUGUAGAAUCUUGAACAUGAUAAAACCAUUCUCGAGAGUCAUUUACUUCUUAUUCAAACUGCAAUUUACCUGAUCCAACGAACAAAACCACCCAUGCCUCAUUAACACUCUAACACAGCAGGGUAUGGCCUCAUUCCAAUACAACCAAACAUGUUCUUCCCCCAUGCACCGAGCGUUCUCUACCAACUGCAACUCUAAACAUUCCGUGAUCCUCAUACCCCAUGAAACAUAAUAUAACCUUUGUCAAAAUUUUAUUUUACUGUAGCCAUUCUCGGCCUAAUUUCUACAACCAGAACUGAUUCACCGGCAUGCAUCAAAUCGGAAAUAACAUAGUACAUAAUUGUACAAUCUGCUAACCAAUAGCAAGAUCCCCAAAUUGGCUCGAAGCCAUAUAUCACAACACACUAUACUCAUAACGCAUAUACUCUAUUGCUGUCAUAAUACCAUAGUGAGAUUGAACUCACUCUUUCAUUAUUUUGUGGAAAUACAAAUCGUCGUAAAUUUUAAAUCUUCUGCAAUUUUUGCAUGCGCCCACACAACAAUUAAGCCCACUCUUUAGGCGACAACUUUUUUUACUAAGUCCCAAAAUUUUCAAAAAUUUCGGCAGAGUUUUCUUUGUAAUUGGGCCUAUCCACCCGCCAGAGAAUCACCAAAACCAUCCUAACAAUACGUCCACAACUUGACAAAGCAUCACAAUGUAGGCAGAGUUUCUUUUGUAAUUGGGCCUAUCCACCCGCCAGAGAAUCACCAAAACCAUCCUAACAACACGUCCACAACUUGACAAAGCAUCACAAUGGAUAUCAAAAACAUUAAUCUCAAUAUUAGAUGUAUUAUAUUAUCAAAACUGAUACAUGGACAUGCGUUGCUCCUAUUUGAUUCAUAAGACAUAGAAAAUACCUUUCAAUCCUUCAUUAUUGGGCUAUUCAACUGAGUAAGAACAUAUUCUUUCUUUAAUGUUUUCGACCUUCAAGGUGGUCUCCCUGACUCAACGAUUUUGUCAUAAUACAUUUACAGAAGCGAUCUCAACUCCCAGACUUAUCUAACUAGUAUGACAAAUAGAUUCCCCUCAUAAGCCAAUUACCCACUAGCUUUACCUUUAAUUAAUAUUUUUGUAUACCUUCCGCUGCCAUACACAUUACACAAUCACUUACUCUUCCUGAGUCUAAACUCAUACCGUAAUAUGAAAUUUACUUCACUCCAAACAGGAGACAUAAAAAUAUUCUUCACGCACCCAUAACUUGGGACUACACAUCCUAUCACAAUGGAAAUCAUACACUCAAUAGUUCAUCUAUCAUCCAGUAGGCCUUCCUCGUCACUUCCAAGUCAUAUAGAUACAUCUCGCAGUACUAUCAUACUCCUCACAUAGCUAUCCAGCCAGGAUUCCUACUAAUAGGGACACCGACACUUCCAAGUCAUAUAGAUAUAUCUCCCAGUACUACCAUACUCAUCACUUAGCUAUCCAACCAGGAUUCCCACUAAUAUGGACAAUAGCGAACAUAAAGGUUCAAAACACUUGCUCGCAGAAUCAACAUCUUGGUGCUCAAGCCAUUGGAAAAUAUUCGGCCUCAAGUCCUCCAGACUUACCUAACAUCAAACUCGAAGCGAUCACGUCUCGCCCCUCAAUCAGGGAGUAGCGAGCCAUCAAAGCACAUCUGAUACUGAGUGCGCAUGUGCGCAUGCGAACGCGUGGAAGAAAUUUCAAGAAUUACUUUUCAAGCUGAAUCAAGAACGCACGAUAAGAAUUCAAGAAUGUGAAGUUUUCCUAAAGGUUCUGAAGCCUCUCGAGGAUAAAUACAGACGUCUCCGUACCGAUCCAUGAGACUCUAUUAAACCUGCUCAUGGCUCGUGAGAUUUAGUAACCUAGUCUCUGGUACCAACUUAUCACGACCCAAACCCCGCUCUGGUUGUGAUGACGCCUCACGUGAAGACAAGGUCAACCAAUACGUUUAAUCAACCUUUUCAACAAUAGAUAAACAAAGAUAGCAGUUUCAAAGAUAAUUUCAUGACAUUAUUUAGCGAAAAUAACCCAGCACAGCCCUAACCGGGGCGUCACAAGUCACGAGCAUAUAAAGGAGUCUAAAUACAUUUACAAGACCAGUAGUAUACAUUAUGAGAGUUAAAAGUCAAAAGGGUAUAAAAUCCGGUGCGGCGAACGCUGGCUGUCAACUGGCUCAACUAUGUUUGCAAAUCUUCAAUCAGCUCGAAACCUGCUACCGAGCAAGAAACCUGCAUCUGCAUACAAGAUGCAGGGAGUAAAGUGAGUACUCCAACUCAGUGAGUAAUAAAAGUAAAUAAUAACCGCGCAGGAAUUUGAAUGUAGUGAUAUGAUUCAGUUUUUUGGCUAUAACUUUCGCUAGAAAUGUCCAAAUUACAAUUUCCUUAGCUUUCUAGAAACUAGACACAAAGAGAUACAACUUUCGUUUUCGUAUCACCUCACAAUUCCUUGCAUAUCAAAAGAUAUGAGCAUCUGAAGUAGGACCAACAGCCUGCAGAUUUUUCCAGUGCGCGCCCAGCGCGAGAAGGAGCAUGGUCCGCGCCGCCACUGCUGCCCCCUCCAUUUUUCUAAGUUUUGGGGUAUCCGUACUCGUUCAAAACUCACCCGAGACACACUCGAGGCCCCCCAAAACUUCAACCAAAAGCACCAACAAGUCUGAAAAAACAUCACGGACUUAGUCGAGGCCUCAAAUCACAUCACAUAUCAUCAAAAUCACCAUUUAUGCAUGGAAUCAAGCCUAAUAACUUAUUAAAUUUUCAAAUUUCACAACCGAUGCCGAAACAUGUCAAAAUAGUCCGAAUGAACUCAAAUUUUGUAGACAAGUCCAAGAUGACAUAACGAAGUUAUAGAAACUCUCGGAAUUCUAUUCCGACCCUCGAAUUAAAAUCUCACCUAUCAACCGGAAUUUGCUAAAAUACUAACUUUGCCAAUUCAAGCCUAAUUCUAUAUCGCACCUCCAAAACCACUUCCGAUCACUCUACUAAGUCACAAAUCACCUUCCAAAGCUAACCGAAAUAUUAGAAUCCACAUCCGAACCCUCUAACAUAUAAGUCAAUAUCCGGUUUACUUUUUCAACUUAAGCCUUCUUAAAAGAGACUAAGUGUCUCUUUUCUUAUCAAAACCACUCCAAAUCAACUCGAUCAUAUAAGAUACGGAUAAUGAAGCAUAAAGAAGUUGAAAAUGUGGAAAAAUGAGUGGUAACUCAUGAGACGACGGGUUGGGUCAUCACAACGGUUGAUUAUAUUUAGACUAUAAAUAAAGGAAAGAUUUAAUAUUCUAUGUUACUACAACUUGUAGCGGAGUAAUAUGUAUGUGAAAGGCUACCCGCUUUAUUCUCCAGUUUGUACCUACACAAAUAAAAGAAUACCACAAUAAAUUUAUUGAUAUAAAAACCCAUAUCAUAAUAAACUUGGAGUGUAUUGAUAAUUGCAUGCGUCAUGGUGUAAAUCUUAAGUUUAUCAAUAUUGAUAAUUUAUUCAGUUAGCAUAAAUGGUUUAGACAUAUCAAUUUAAGUAUGAUGUGCAAAUAUAAUAGGGAAUUCACAUGGGUAAAUAUUAAAUAACUAGAAAGUUCUUUACAAAUUCUCUUAUAUUACUUGUUCUCUUUAAUUAAUAAACCAACUAAAAUUGGGAUUAAAUCCCAUAAAUUUAGAAAUCGCAAAGGUGAAUAUGAGCCCAUUCACCUGCCAUAUAUACCACAUAAGAUGCAUUUAUGAGAUGGUUACAUGUGCAAUUAUUAUUAACUCGCAAUAUGGUAUUUUGCGAGGUAACUUGCUUGCUCAAUAAUUUAAUUUCGAGCAUAAUUUCCAAAUUUUUUAUUCAACAAGCUCAUCUUCAUAAGUUAGUUUAUAUCACAACUGGUUUAGCACAAUACUUUAUUAAGUGCCUCCACUUAAUAGCUAAACCAUUGCUUAUGAGAACAAAGUUAUCUAUAUCAGUUGAUAUACGUUAUAUACAAAAAUAUAUUAUAUUCUUCCCUCAUAAGUGGUUCAGGGUCAGGAACCAAAUAAUUCCAUCUUAUUAUUAUUGAUGUGCAGUGUAUUUGGAUUAGCACAAUAACGCACAAAGAUGAGUUUCUAAAAUUGAGGAAGCAAGUUAAUUUUUCUAACAUAAGGGGAAGAAAUGAUAAACAGUUGAGAAAAAGUUACGUGGAAUGAAUUAUUAUUUGUAUAUCUAGAUCCUCGAAUACGAUACUAUGAACUUGAAAUUCAUAAAAGGAUAAUUCAUCUGCAAUAUAUUGCCAAGCAUGCCAGACGCAUUUUCUGACUCAAAGAAAGUAACUAUAUUCUCAUUGCAAAUGCUCAUAUUAAGUCCUAGAAAGGACAAAGUCUAUGGUAUGCUUAAAGCGUACAGACAAAUCGGUUUCAAAUAGAGCUUCUUGAUAAAGAAGAUGAGAAAAUGAUCAUAAUAAGGAGGCAAAUGAUCUAGAAGAUCACAUGACAUAACACUUGGUACUUGAAUAUAUGAAAUAAUAGCGCUAUAUAUAUAUAUAUAAUAUAUAUAUAUAUAUAUGGGGAUCUUAAGUCUGGAGAAACAAUUUCGAAUAGAAUUGGUUUCAUAUGAAAGACAUAUAGUUUUGAGCAUGUAGUUCAAAUACUUAAAAAUAUAAAGCCAAUGAUGUGUGCAAUCAGCUUUCGAUAUCUUAUAUGUCCAACAUGACAUGAAAACUUGAUAUGCAUCUAAAGUCUCUUUGGAUGGCUUAUAUGACUUAAGUUAGAUAACAAUCCAUGAAGGAUUUAAAUUGCUUGAAACAUAUACAAUUCUUGAUUUUGAAGUAGCACAUCCUCAAUGUAAUUUAUGCACAAAUGUAUCUUGCUAUAACUAUAAGCAUGAUAAUGUGAUAGCGAGAAUACCCAUAUGGAGAUAUUAAAGAGCCAUUCCACGAUAAUUGUUAAGACAUUAUAUAUCUAUCACGAUUGAUGAUUUCAAGGUACAAAAUAUUCAUUCAAGUUAAUAUGAUUGAUUUGUUUAUCAAAUCUCUAUCAAAGAUCUUUUGAAGAUGGUGCACAAUAUUGGAAUGCAAAUGCUUAAAUAUGUGAAUUGAUGCUCUUAUCACGGGAGUUAAUGCGCGUUGCACUCUUUUUUUUCUUAUAAGAUUUUAUCCCACUGAGUUUUCCUUGCAAGGUUUUUAAUGAGGCAACCAAAAUGUGUAUUAUUAGAUAUGUGUACUAUUUUUCCUUUUCUAGAUUUUUUUCAUUGGAUUUUAUUUUAGUUAAGGUUUUAACGAGGCACAUUAUCUGUUAAAUAGACAUUCAAGGAAAAAUAUUAUAAAUAAAAUUCUAUUUUAGGUGAAUAUUCUAUUCUAUUAUAAAUCAUGUCAAAAAGCAAUAAGAAUUCUUUAUCUACUUUCCUAUGCAAUACUUUCUUCUUUUAUUAUUUCAUAACACAAAAGAUAUUUUAAAAAGUUAAUCGAAAAAGCAUUUUCAAAAGUACAAAACGCCACGUAAAGUAUGCACGAGGGCUGGACAAAUAAGAGUCCAACACGAUAACACCUAAUCAGUAAAGUAUCUUCCUUUGUUGGCAGACAAAACAAAGAAAAAGGACACAUACAAAAGAAAGAACUCUCUGCCAUUAUUCAUUCACCUCAUCUUUCCUCUCUCUUGCGGCCAUCUUAAUCUCUUACGUGGUUAAUUUCUAAAACCCCUUUUGUUCUUAUCUCUCUUUUUGUAUUUUAUUUUAUGAUUUGUAUUAAUAUUUAGUAUUACAAUUCUUUUUGCUGAGUUUGUGGAUCUGUUGGAUUACUUCAAGAAUUGGGUAAUAUUUCGUAUUUCAAUUCCUCAAUUCUUUUUGCUGAGUUUGCGGAUCUGUUGGAUUACUUCAAGAAUUGGGUAAUAUUUCGUAUUUCAAUUCCUUUUAAUUUCCUGGGUUUUUGCUUUUAUGUACUGUGGGUACGAAACUUUGCUUUGAUUCGGAGCUAGGUUUUAUAAUUCUGAACCAAAAACCAUGUUUCUCAUUUUUGGUUCUGUACUAAACCAGAAGCUUAGCUGGCGAAACUCAGAGGGUUACAGUUAGAAUAUUGAAAAUUGUUGUGACAUGAAUUGCAUAAGCAGAAUUUUUUUAUUCCUGUUUCAGUUUCAAGUUUAGGAGUUAAUCAUGUUUUAACUGGCUUUAAGUAUUUUUGAGUAUCUUGCUCAGUGUUAUCAAAGGUGAAAAGCUCUUACAAAACGCUCUUGAGCUCUAUUGGGGCUUUAAGCACGAAGCACAGUUUAUAUUUGUUGUUUAGUACUGGUUGAUCUCGUGUCGCAAGCCUUAGUGCCUUGCCUAUGCUGACAACAUUGAUCUUGCUUAUGUUACUUGAAUAGAGAGAAAAUGGACAUAUACGGGAAAUGGAGAUAAAUGAUUCAUAUAGUCGGCUCCAACUGAUUUUGGAUCAAGGCUUAGUUGGUUGAUUGAUUUGCUUAUAUAACUUGCAAUCUGUUUUACAUUCGUACUUACGUAUUUUUGAUUUUGCUGAAUAUCGCUUUGCUUAUUGCAUCUGAUGAACAUGUGUAUGUUCUUCAUCUCGUUUUUUUCCCCUUCAAAGAGGGAUCUUAUAUGCACUUGCUUGUUUACAAUGUGGGCAUUUUCCCCUUGUUACUUGCUUAGAAAAAUAGUCUUCUUCAGCCGAGGCAGAUCUGGUAUUUAAACUCUAUGGGUUUAAUCUUUAUUAGCAUUGAAUGUAUUAAAAGUUGUGGGUUCAUAUCGACUAUUUCUUAUAAACAUAAAUUUCUCUAUGCCGAAAGUACUGGAUUCAGAUGAACCCGAAUACAAUAUGUUGCAUUGCCUCUAUUGUUCAGUCUAUAACUUCGCUGCAUAAACUAGAUGGUUUAUAGCGAGCGGAAGCAAAGAAUAUGCUUUCUUUUCCCUAUUAUAUUUUUCUCAGGAGAGGCAGGUUUAGGAGGUUUCUUAGCAUUAGUGUUGUUAUCUUUAAUGAGUUUUUUCGCAGGAGUGUCGACAAUAUGGAGCAUGAUGAGACGGGAUGCCAACCCCCUCCUGAAGGCCCUAUUUUGUGCGUUAACAACUGUGGCUUCUUUGGAAGUGCUGCAAACAUGAACAUGUGCUCUAAGUGUUACAGGGACACGGUAUUGAAACAAGAACAAGCUAAGUUAGCUGCAUCAUCAAUUGAAAACCUUGUCAAUGGAUCAACCCCCAGUGAGAAGGGGGAAACGAUUGUCGUUGGCUCUGUCGAUGUGCAAUCUGAUUCUGUGGAAGCAAAGGCUGUAACUUUGCCAUCAUCUCCAACCUCAAGCUCCAGUGUCGUUGCUGAAGUAAAGGCUAAGGAGGGUCCUAACCGCUGCGGCACUUGUAAAAAAAGGGUUGGCUUCACUGGAUUCAAGUGUCGCUGCGGUCACCUGUAUUGUGGAGCACACCGUUACUCGAAUAAACAUGACUGCCAGUUUGAUUACCGCUCUGCUGCCCAAGAUGCAAUAGCAAAGGCCAAUCCUGUUGUGAAGGCAGAAAAGCUUGACAAAAUCUAGAAGGGGUAUUGUGCUUAAAUUUGGUGAUUUCAUUUGGUUUUCCUCUGACGGCAACAUAUAAUAUGAGAUGUUAUUAAACCUCAGGGGCAAAGAAGAUUAAAAGAUAUUGCAGCUUGAAGAAUUAUUAGGAGAAUUUGUGUGUUGGCUACAGUUUCAUGCCUUCCUUUGUGCUGGGUUGAUAUCCACUUUGAUUAUAUCUGUUAUGUGUUGUUCUGAUUCACCUGGUAUUCUAUCCAAUAUUACAUGUCUAAAUGGUAUGUGUGAAUCUAGAUAAUAUGGAAAAUGUCCGUUCACAUGGUUGUGCUUUGGCAUUGUAAAUUUCGCCUCAUGAUCUCUUGUAUGUUUUCAUCCAAUGUUUCAGAUAUCAUCUUCAGUUCAUUUUGCUUUCUAGCUAUGUCUCACCUGUCUUUGCUACUAUUUGGGAGCUUAAACCUGACUAUAUCAUAUUCUCCGUGAGUGCAUAUUGGCCACGAGUUACCUUUUUAUGGUUAAUAAUACGUUUUGCUCUGUUAUUCAAUAAUGCUUGAUACUGAUCAGCUGCCACAAGGGGAGCUUUGGCGUAGCCGGUAAAGUUGCCUCCAUAUGACCAGGAGGUCAAGGGUUCGAGCCGUUGAAAUAGUCUCUUGCAGAAAUGCAGGGUAAGACUGUCUAUAAUAGACCCUUGUGGUCCGGCCCUUCCCCGGAUCCCGCCCAUAGUUGAAGCUUAGUGAGCCAGGCUGACCAUGAUCUGCUGUCAGUUGUAUUUUCCUGAAUAUUGUUGAGAAUCUUAUGCUCUUUAUCAUCUUUACCAACAACUUGUUCCCGAGCAAAGGAGGGAUCAUUAGCCAAAGGUAAGUAGCUUCUUUCUUUAGACGUCGAUAUAGAGUCAAACAGUACAUUAGGAAGAUUAGUUGGUAGGUCUUAUAUAUAUAUAUAUAUAUGAGAAAUACCCCGUGGGCUUUUGGCCGACUCUAGUUGAUGGACAGGUUUUGAAACCCCACCGAGCUAUGAGCCCGUCCCACUACAUUCCUCUCAACUUAAAUACCAACCUUUGUUUGCAGCAGGGUUCGAAUGCAUGACGUGCCCCUAACGCAUGCAUCAUUCUUAUUUACUUGGUAUUUAUCAAAUAUUAUAUGCCUAAGUGUUAUGUGCAAAUCUAUAUCGCAUUGAAAAACAUCAAUUGACAUGCUUAUUCUGUAAAUUUCGCUUCAUGAUCUCUUGUACUGCAUGUCUAAAUAUGUCGCACCUGUGCUUGCAGUGAACUUUUGGCUUUUAUAUCAAUUUUGAACAGAAGUUUUAUUGUUUGGGAGUUUGAAGUUUACUCUAUCAAAUUUUGUGUGAGUGCAUAUGUUGUGAACUAGUCUUGUGUCUACUAAGUUUGCAUUUUAAUUGGUAGAAGUUUUGGGUUGUGGGUGAAAUUUAGAGCAAGGGAUUGAUUAUAUGAAAGUUAGAACCUGCAGCAGUUGAUAAAACUAAGUAUUUUCAUACCUUUUAUUUGGCAAAAUGGCUUCCUGGCAACUCAAACUUGUGCCGGAUUUUAAAGCCGAUACAUAAACUAUGUUUUCUCCAUUUAAACACUUUAACUUUUGAAAUAUAGAACUAAUAAAUAUAUUUGACUAUUGACCCAUCCCAUGUGGCGUAAGUUGGUCCUAGUCAGUCUCUGCGUGAAUAUCACGACUUUUAGGAGCGUGAGAGACCCCUUCCCAACGUCCAACGGUAAAAAAUAGGAGCAAUUUAAGUGGGGUCUUCUUCUUUCAAUUAGAAAAAGAAGAAGAUGAAAACGACAUCAAAAGAAACAAACUAACUUUUACAUAGUAACGUGACUGAAAUCGAGAGCUCAGACGGAACUCGAACAACUUAUGAUUAAAAUAUGGGGGACCUAAAUCGUUUGGUUUUGGAGUGAUUAAGAUUACUUUGGAAGAAGGGAACCAAGUUAAUCGACCAUCGUUUAACCUAGGUUUAAGAGGAGAGGGUUGGUUAGAGAUAGAAAAAGAGACGAAAAGUGGGGGAGGGUUUGUCGGUGUAUAGCUUAAAAGAGGGGGACCUUAAUGUAUUGGAUUUAAUUUCGCGCUAAUGACGUGUACCAGUUUCAUUGGUCAUUUGCUGACUGGAUGGACACGUAGGCGAAUGUGCAAUACAUGUGCAUAUGAGUAAGGAUAAAAUGUAUUUAUUAGUUCGUGGUUUCAUGAGUUUAAGUAUUUAAAUGGAAAAGACAGAGGUUUAUAUAUCGACUUUAAAAUUAGGCGCAAGUUUAAGUGGCUAGGAAGCCAUUUCGCCCUUUUACUUUAGUGAUUAAUAACCCAAAACUAACAUGGUCAACAUAAUACUCAUAGAAUUGCACGGAACGCACUUAUACUCAUUUUUUUUAAAAACUUUUAACUUGUAUUCACUUUUUAAAUAACUUCAGCCCCCUUUCUCCUCCUCCUUCAUUUUCUUCUUCUUCUUUCUUUUGCUGCUGUUGGUGCUGCUAUGGAAAAUUUCAGUUCAUAGGAUGAUUGUCAUUAUCAGUUUAUUUAAAAAUAAAUUAUAAAUAAUUACGUAAGGUAGUAGAAAAUAAUUUAUGAAUACUUUCACGUACAUAAGUUAUUAGACAAUAAUAAUUCUGUUCUUUUCACGUUUAUUGUUUCCAAAAUUUAUGAUUUCGAUACUGUUGGCAAUCUGAUUAUUUAUCUAGUAUGUUAGAAAGCUUUUUUAAAACUUUCAACUAUAGAGCCGAAGUUCGCCAGUUACAAAACAAAAACUUCAGCUCUAGAGCCGAAGUUCGCCAGUUACAAAAACAAAAACUUCAGCUUCAGAGUCGAAGUUCGCCAGUUACAAAAUAAAAACUUCACCUCUGGAGCUGAUGUUCGCCAGUUACAAAACAAAAACUUCAGCUCUAAAGUUGAAGUUCGUCAGAUACAAAAAUAAAAUUUUCAGUAAUUACAAAUAAAAACUUCAGCAAAUAGAGAAUAAAACUUCAGCUACUAUACUUAAGUUAAGCAAUUACAAACAAAUAUUUCAGCACACUUGGUUCAACACACUUGCUACUUUAGGUCUUUCUACUAGAAUGUUGAAGUUUUGCGUGAUUGCCUUUGCUACUUCAGCCCCGUAUGCUGAAGUUAUGCGAAAAAGCGGGUACACUUGUAAUUUUUUUUGCAAAGCGGGUACAAGUUAAAACGUAACAGAAAAAGCAGGUAUAGAUACAAAUGCUUCCAUAAUACUUUCACAGACUUGAGCCCGUUUGGACAUAAGAAUUUUUUUCCUUACCUUUUCAAAAAAAUUCACCUUUUCCGAAAUUAACGCUUGUGCAUAAAAUUUUAAUUUUACUUGAAGAUGCAUUUUGAAAUUUUUUAAAAACUUCAAAAAUUCCAAAAAUUCGUUUUUCAAAAUUCACUCAAACCACGCACAAAAUUUCAAAAAUAACUCAAAAUUAUAUUUAUGUCCAAAUACAAUUCAAAAUUUUAAAUACCAUUUUCUUUAAUUUUUUUUACCCUUUUUUUGAAACUUUACAAUCCCUAUGUCCAAACGUCCACUUAUUGUCUACUUCAAAUUCAAGUAAUAUUUUUCCAAUUUCAACCACAAAUGUUGUCGAAAUGAAUCCACAAGUUAAUUAACAUAAUUUUCAGGUGACAAUAAUUAAGCACAAUUUGAACGAAACCAGAAUUUAAGCUAAGUAAUUCUUGAAUUUGGAGUAGAAUUUUGAUGUACUUUGUCUAUGACUUCUUCAAAUCACUCUACUCUUAAUCUUUGAGAAGCUAAUUGGAUUGCUACUCUGGAAUCCUUAAGAGUCAAGUCGCAGGUCCUCUAAACAAAAUAAAAAAUUCCCUUGGAAUAUGUGAUGUUAGGAUAGGUAACGCUUGGGAUUUCUCAAAUAUAUCCCUAGCCAUACCAAAACACACUCUGGAUAACAUUCACUCUACUUUCAUCUCUAAUAAGUGCCUGACUGAUGGCUUAUCAUGAGAUAUGAACUUAAGCGGGAUCUUCACGACCAAAUCUUGUUAUGGUCUAAUAGAAAGGACUACAAACCACCCAAUAAAUAAUAAUUGGGUCUGGGACCUCCAAUUCCCUAACAAAAUUAAAUAUUUUAUGUGGCUUUGCAACCUCAAUAGACUUUCUUGUAGGAGAUUCCUUUUCUUUAUAGGCAUGAAUAUAGACGACCAAUGCAUCAUUUGUCGCCGUGGUACUGAAUAUCUUAGCCACAUUUUUAUUACAUGCCCUAACGCUAGUAACAUUUGGCAAAGCAUAAGAAUUGAUACUGGCGGUUUUUGACCCCUUAAGUAACAAUUGGUUAACCAAGCUAAAAUCUAGCAACCCCAUUAUCCCCUCUAAAUUCAUCAAUUGGAAUACUCUCUUUCCUUUUGUUAUGUGGAAUAUAUGGAUCACUAGAAACACCAAUAAUAUUAAUAACACUUGUCUUACCAGUCACCUAGGAAAAAUUAUAGACCAGGCUAUUGAGUAUUCUCUCAUAACUAAUAGAGAAUCAAACUGGGAAAAGGAUAUUACGCUCUAUAUAUCUUGGGUAAAACCUCUUACUAGUUGGUACAAGCUAAAUAUAGUCGAGGCUUUCAAUUUCUCAUGUAAAACAGGUAGCAUUGGAGGGGUAAUAAGAAAUGAUCAUGGUGAUUGGCUAAUAGGAUUUGGCUUAAACUUUUCCGCCAAAAGCCCGAUACACUCAGCGCUUAUGGCCCUAUUCAAAGGAUUAACCAUAGCAAAUGAUAGGAACUUGUCCCCACUAAUAAUAGAGACGGGUGCAUCUCAAGUAAUAUCCUUCAUCCAUGAAGGCUGUAAAACUUACAACUCUAUCAUUAAUGGUUGCAGGUCACUUCUGGAUCAAAUGGACAUCGUGGAAAUCCAACACACAUUCAGGCAGGGGAAUGAAGUUGAUCUCUUGUUGGAUAAGCACACAGUGGAGAACCUAGUGAUAAAUAAAUUACAAUUCUGGUUAUUUCCACCACCCUUUGUCUUGGCCAGGAUGCUGGCAGAUAAAGGAGGGUAAAAAUCUGUAAAAACUAUUUCUCUUAAGUAUUGUAGUACUCUAGCUUCUAUUGGUAACUUACAUGCCAUGCAUGUGUUACCCAAUGGUAAUGAUCCUUAUGAUCAUACCCCCUUUUGUAAUGUUUAAAUGUUCUAGUAAUGAAUAAACGUCAUCUCUGCUAAAAUAAAACAGUAACAAAUAUCAUUUAACUGGAUAAGAUGUGGUGCAUGCCAAUUCGUAUCACGUAUACAAUGUCAAAAUCAAAUGAAGUACUGGAACAUUUUGUAAUUACCUCCAUUUUAUUUUGUAUUAGACUCUAUUUUAGUGUGUUUUGAAAAGAACGAUCCAUUUUAUAUUUAAAUACUUUUUAAUUUUAAUAUUGAUAUUUAACUAUAGAGCCUGUUUGGAAAGCCUCCAAAGAAUUAGAUUCGUGUGUAAGUAGGCAUAAUUACACAAUUUGAUAUGUUUAGCUGAACAAGUAAUUAUUUGGUAAGCAUGAAAUUAGAUAUAAUUGAGGAAGAAUAAUUAUACUCUUCAAUACUCAAAGGGAUGAUGAGAAUUGGUGGUAAUUACAUUGGGUAAUUAGAAGAUAUUAUAACUUCUAAUUCUCUUUUAUUUUUAUUUUUUCAAAUGCCUUAUAUACUCUCCUUUUUACAUAAUUUCUCUGUAACGACCCGACCGUUCGUUUUAAGCUUUUGUACUUUGAUCGCCAUUUAUCGGGCUUGACUUGCCCCGUGUAAUGCGUUAUGACUGAUGUAGAUUGUUGGUUUUGGUUUUCAUGGAACAACAACAACAACAACAAUAACUAUCCAGUAUAGUCCCACGAGGUGGGGUCUGGGGAGGGUAAUAGGUGCACAGACCUUACCCCUACCCGAAAGGGCAGAGAGGCUAUUUUCAAUUGACCCUCGGCUCAGGAAGGAAAGGAAAAACAAAAUCAAAAACAAAAACAAAAACAAAAGGGCAUUACUGUCUCCAGCAGAAAUCACAUAAAUAAUUAACUAAACAUAAUUAUCUAAAUAUAAUUUCCUAAACAUGAAAGUAUAAAUAAGGUGACAUGCAAUAAUAUCGAACAGUAAGUACCAUAAGGGCAUAAUUCAACACACAAAUCCACUAUGGAUAGCCCUAUCAAACCCCACCCAGCCCUGGAGAAAAGUACGGAGAAUUUCUAGAAGCCCUUAUCCUACAACCCUGAUAAUAGACCUCCAGACUUUCCUAUCAAGGGCCAUGUACUCGGAAAUCCGCAAUCUAGCCAUGUCUUACCUAAUCAGCUCUCCCCAAUACCUCUUGGGCCUCCCUCUGCCUCGACUCGCGCCGACCACCGCCAGUCGCUCACAACUCCUCACCGGUAAAUCAGGGCUUCUCCUCCGCAAUCUCAUCCAAUGGGGCCACCCCCACCUUCUCCCGAAUAACUUCAUUCUUAAUCUUAUCUAACCUGGUGAGCCUGCACAUCCACCUGAGAAUCCUCAUCUCCACAACCUUCAUUCUCUGAACAUGAGAAUUCUUCACCGGCCAGCAUUCCACCCCAUACAACAUGGCAGGUCUAACCACAACUCUAUAAAACUUCCCAUUAAGUUUUUGUGGCAUUUUCUUGUCACACAAGACUCCGGAUGCAAGCCUCCACUUCGACCACCCUGCCCCUAUACGGUGAGUGACAUCCCUGUCGAUCUCUCCAUCCCCCUGAAUCACCGACCCAAGAUAUCUGAAACGGUCCCUCUUGGCAAUGACCUUAGAUCCAAGCUUCACGUCCAUGCCUACUUCGCUCGACCCGACGCUAAUUUUGCACUCCAGGUAUUCUGUCUUAGACGUGCUUAGUUUGAAACCCUUAGACUCGAGAGUCUGUCUCCACACCUCCAGCCUCUCGUUAACACCGACCCUCGUCUCGUCUAUCAAGACUAUAUCAUCAGCAAAUAGCAUAUACCAAGGCACAUCCCCUUGAAUAUGACGAGUUAGAGCAUCCAUAGCCAAGGCAAACAGGAGAUGACUAAGCGCAGAUCCUUGAUGAAGCCCCAUCACCAUUGGGAAAUGGUCUGAGUCGCCAACCACCAUCCUAACCCUAGUCUUUUCUCCAUCAUACAUGUCCUUGAUUACUCUGAUGUAAGCUUCCGGCGCGCUCUUCGCCUCUAGGCACAUCCAUAGCACCUUCCUUGGGACCUUGUCAUACGCCUUCUCUAAGUUGAUAAACACCAUGUGCAAGUCUUUCUUCUUAUCCCUGAACUGCUCCACUAAUCUCCUGACAAGGUGGAUAGCUUAUGUAAUGGAGCGACCCAGCAUGAAACCGAACUUGUUCUCGGAUAUAUAUGUCAUCUACCUCACCCUCGACUUGACCACUCGCUCCCAGAUCUUCAUGACACAGUAUAAAGAACAAAGUAAGAGACUCCAAGAAAGCAAACUAUACCAUAGAUACGAAAGUUUCCCUACAAAAGGGGAUGGCAUCAACAACCCAUAAGGGACGGCUUGCCAAUCUACACAAACAGUUAAUUUGUUUAUAGUCGCAAAAGUAUUCCUACAAAAUGGGCUGGCUUCAACAACCCAUAAGGGACGGCUUUCCAAGCUACACAACUUAGAAAAUUUUUGUACUAUAACAAACGUUUGCUGUUUAUAACUCAGAAAACUUUUGCACCACAAUAAGCUAACUUUAACAGAGUAUUCUUACUCUAUUUUCAUACAUGGACCGGCCUUUACAUCCAUUCUAAAGAAAGAACAAGAGAGGAAUUUAGAAAGCACUCAUAUGUAAUAUAUCACAAAGAUUUACAAAGGUUGCAAGAUGAUCCUACCAUUACUACAAGGCCUCCUUUAUAUAGGGCUAGGAGGUUAUUACAAGACNNNNNNNNNNNNNNNNNNNNNNNNNNNNNNNNNNNNNNNNNNNNNNNNNNNNNNNNNNNNNNNNNNNNNNNNNNNNNNNNNNNNNNNNNNNNNNNNNNNNNNNNNNNNNNNNNNNNNNNNNNNNNNNNNNNNNNNNNNNNNNNNNNNNNNNNNNNNNNNNNNNNNNNNNNNNNNNNNNNNNNNNNNNGGUUAUUACAAGACAAACUUUCAAGAUAAAAUAAACCUAUCUUACAUGGCAAACUUAUCUACAUGUGGGUCCUUCUUGGCAUGUGAAGGACUUUAGACAAACCAACAAAAAAAUACAUGAAACCAUGUAAAAAGUGGUGACAUAUACAUGGUGUAGCAUGUGAAAGUAUAAGGUAGCAUGUGACGCCAUAUGAACAUAUUAUGUUGCAUGUGACGAAGCAUGUGGAGGCAUGUGGAAGCAUGUGAAAACAAGUGAAUGUGGGGCCCGAAUGGUAUGGAAAGAUGUGGGAAUUUAUCUUGGCAUGAGUAGGAUAUAUUUUAGGGUUAUUUGGUAUGUAAUAUAGGAUUAUGGUGGGAUUAUCAGGGAUUUGGAUAAUUAAUUCUAGGGUUGUCUUCUAGGAAUCUUUUCAAAGACCUUGAGUAGUAAUGCCUUGAACUGGAUGGUCCUUCUCUGCUGUGUUCUUUCUCCUUUGUAUUGGGAGAUGUAAUCCGCAACUUUAAUCUGGAAAUGUCAUGAGUGCUCUUUUUUCAGAUGACUUCAUAUGGAGUUUGAUAUUCUUUUGCUGCUUCCCGGACUCUUUCCCAAUUAGGAUGAGUGUUGGUGUAAUUCCAUCUUGCCCAAUCUUUUGGCUAUAUAUCUUUCGGGAUACACCUAUUUUGCUGAAAAAGGAUUUUUGUGCCUCGCUAUAUUCUUCCUCCAUUGAUAAAAUGGAUACGGGAAAUUUCCACUGGAAUGAUGAUUCUGCUUGUGCCUGGACUUUUCCAUUGAUGAUUUUUACCGGCCUAUAGAACAUGAAUACCUUUGCUGUGUAGGAAUCGCUGAAGCAUUUUAUCCAAUAUCUUCUAGGCUUGAACCAUAACAAAAAUACUUUAAGGGCUGGUGCAAUGGUAUCAAAAUCCUUGAAGACGUUACAUUUGAAUUCCAUGAAAAUAUAAUAUUGAUGGCAUAUGUACCAAAAAAAAAUCAUAAUAAUUCUUAUGGAAAAUCCUUAGCUUGAGCGAUGAAUAUGUAGUAGAACGGAUAUUCUGGAUUGACCCCAUAAGGGUUAAGAAUAGAUUCUCCAUAUUGCCGGAAAACUUGGAGUUCGUAAUAAGUUCUUCUUUCCAUAAUAUUUGACGGAUCAAAGGGAUCCAUGAGAUUGAAUAACUCUGGUGGGUGAUCCGUUGGCUUUAGUGAACUUGUUCCUGAUGCAUCUGUAAACAUGAAGAUGUGGCUGAUUAGCUUCUGCUUUGUCUUCAAUUUUGCGGGUGAAAAUCUCUUUGAAAAUUCUUCUGGCUGAGAUAGAAAAUCUGCGAGAAUAUAAUCCUUUCCUUUCAUGUGCUUGACUUGAAAUUUGUAUGGAGAAAACCAUUGAGCCCAUUUGAGAAUCUAAGGAUUGGGAAUAAUUUUUGAAUUUAUCUGGAUCAUCUUUGGGAAGGCCUUGAUAUCCAUUUCUAAUAGAAAUUCUGUAUGGAUCAGGAAGAAAUUGAAUUUCUUGAUUCCAUUUUACUGCAAGAAUUUCCUUGAAAGUGGAGUGAUAAUGCUUCUCGGCAGCUUUGAACUUUCCACUGGUGUAUCCGCAUAUUUUCCUCUGGCCAUCUUUCUCUUCAAAUAAAACAGCACACCAAUAUUCAUGGCUGGCAUCAGUUUGCAAUAUAUUUUUUCCAUCUGAUGGGAUAUAGAGAGACUUGACACUUUUUGAUAUUUCCUUUAUUUUGCUGACUGCCGCAUCCUGUUCCUCUCCCCAUGCAGGAGCAUUUUCCUUGAGCAUUUCUGAGAGUGGUGAAUUGUAUGUAGAGAUAUUUGGGAUGGAAUCUCUUACAUAAUUUGUUACACCCAAGAACUGUUGGAUCUGCUUUAUUGUGAGAUUGGUAUCCAGAAAUUUGAGCAAUUCCUAACAUAUAUAUGGUCCUGGACUGUAUUCUUCUUGGGAAAAAUGCAUUCCGAGAAAAUCAAUCUCCUUUUGAGCAAGAACCAUCUUUUUUUCAGAAAGCAUGAUCCCGUACUGUGUUACUAAUGCCUUAAAUUGACGAAGCAAGUUGACAUGUUCUUCGACUGUAUCACUAACAGGAUGUCAUCAAUGUAGACUAAGGAUAUAUGGGAGAAGGGUUGGAAGAUUUUUAUCAUGGCUUUUUGGAACAAAGAGGGUGCAGUAUUCAACCCGAAGGGCAUGACUUUCCAUUAGAAGUGAUGGUCAGGGAUGCAAAAUCCCGUUUUGGGUCUUUCUUCAGGGUGGAUUCCUAAUUGCCAAAAUCCAUAUUUUAAAUCAAACUUGAAAAAAUAUUUAGCCUUGGAUAAGUGGGAGAAAAGGUAAGUUUAUUAGGGAUAGGGAAUUUAUCAUCUUGGAGGAAAUGGUUAAGUGGUUGGUAAUUGAUGACUAACCUGGGGAUAGGGAAUUUAUCAUCUUGGAGGAAAUGGUUAAGUGGCUGGUAAUUGAUGACUAACCUGAGUUUCCCUCUUGUCUGUUCAACUCUUUUGUUGACAUAAAAUGUUUCGCAUGCCCAUUGUGAGUCUGAUGCACUACUAAAAAAACUAGGGUUUAGCGACGGAAAAAAUCUGAAGCUAAAUAUAAAAAUCCGUCACUAGUCUCAUUUAGCGAUAAAUAAUCAAAAGAUUCUACUAGCAACGAGCAUUUUAGCGACAAAUUAGCAAUGACGUUCGUAGCUAAUUCCAGUUUUUUUUUUGUAGCGAUGGCUCUAUCAUAUCAAAUUCUAAAAGUUCUUCACAUUCUUUCUUUGCAAGCUGGAGAUGAUCUGCAUUCAUCCCUGAAUGUCUGGCCUUUGUUGGAUUGACAUUUUCAUUCUUCUUGAAAGGGAGCUUGAUAAAAAAACUCUUCGUUUUUCCAUAACGGGCGUUUCCCUUUCUUCAUGAAAUCCUUGUGGGAUUCAACACAUGAAUGUUCAAUGAGAUCGUUUUUCCAUAACGGGCGUUUCCCUUUCUUCAUGAAAUCCUUGCGGGAUUCGGCACAUGAAUGUUCAAUGAUAGUUUACUCAAUAUCUUUGAUUUGUUCAUCACUGUUGAUUUGGAAUAGCUUUGGAAUCUCAGAAUAAGGUCUGAACUAGUUUUUAAAAGCUAUCCCAUUAGCCCUGAUAUGGAGUUGAUCUCUAAGUUGUCUGUAAAUGUCAAACCUAAUAAUAAGAUCCUUUCCUGGUACAUCAGAUCCUAGAAGCUUUGUUCUGUACUUCAAUCCUGGAAAUAACUCAACUGUGACCGGGUGCUUUGUAACGACAGUUGUGGCCAAGAUUGCAUUUGAUGCAGUGUUGAAAUCCUUAUAAUGCGGCACCCAUUUAUCUUCAGGGAGAACAACAGGAUUAUGAGUGAAGAAGCAGCUCCAAUAUCUAUGAAAGCAAUAACUCGAGUUUGUUUAUCCCAUUUGGAUGAAUAGACCUUGAGUUAUACUUGAGGAACGACUGCGAGAGCAUUGAUCUCCUCUCAGGCCUCGAUCACUGGUUCUGAAAUUUGGUAUUACUCAUUGCCUUGAUUUUUAUAGAUAUCAAGAGAGAAUAAAGUUUCUUUACUAGGUUCAUCAUCUACAAAGAAUAUGGAUUCAAGGUCCUCAUCCUUUCCAAGAUGUAUGCUAGUGUAAUCUUCGAUUUCUUCAAGGAGUUUGACAGAUCUUCUUUAUUAUGGAUAAUUUUUUUGCAAAGUGUCCAAUCUUAGGCAAAUAAAGCAUCUGUUCUUCUUGUAAAAAUUUCCUGGCCUUCUGUGCCUGAAAUACUUUGUGCGUCUCUUGGACCUUGAUUUUCCGUUUGGAAUUCUUGGCCAUCUAACCUCCUGAAUUCUCUCCCUCGUCUGGAUGUGCGGAAGGAACAUCCUGAUCCCGUGAUUAGAUCAGAUUUGUGGCAGGCUUUGUCAAGCGCUGGAUUAUGAUGGAUCAUUUGCUUUAGGGCUGAGCGCUUUGUACAUAUAUCAUCCAAUGCAACAAAAAUAGCUUGCCUGAUGUAACCAAUUUGUGGGAUAUUUAUGGACUGAAACUUUUCUUCAAUGAUGGUCAUGGUUCGGCUUGCCAACAUCUUUGGAAGAGAAGAGACAAAGGCUUGCUUCAGAUUAAUGUCUCCGCCAAUUUCAAAGUAUAUCUUCGCCAUUUUUUGGAAAUGUAUGUCAAUGUCGUUUUUGUCGAAUGACACACACUUCAUUUCAAAGAGAUUCCUUCGCAUUUUCUUCUUUCUUUGGCAAGUAUCUCCAUAGAAAACUUCAUGUAGGAUCAUGAUAUUAAAGGCAAAAUCUUGGGAAGUAAGAAAACUAUUUUUGUCUUGAAUUGCAAGUGAGUUCCACCUCUCUCUGAGAAUUCCUGAGAACCACGAAGUAAGUUCUGACAGGAUGAUAUACUUUUCUCGUUCCACCAAAUGAUUGGUCACCAUCCAAGUGUAGAAGUCUUGGAUCCUUUGAGGCCAUUUUGAAACCUUGAUGUCAUCUAAGGUGAAAGCGUGGAAGCCAGUUCAAACUGGUUUUGACGCUAUGGGCUCAUAUAUUCUUUCUGGGAUUGGCUCAUCUGUAAUCCCUUCUUGUUCCUCAUCUACUUCUAAUGCUUCUAGGUCUCUUAGAUUGUUCACAAAUAUUGGGGGAUUUUCUUCUUCGGAAGAGUUCGUCAUGGAUUCAUUGCUUGACUGAGAGCUAUCUUCUGUUGAUUCAUCAUCUGAUGAAUUCAUAGAUUCUGACCAUGGAGUAUCUUCUUCUGGUAUGUAUCUUGGCUAAGACACAUAGAGUUUUGGAGCCUUCUGGUAAGAAAUCAUCAAAUUUUCAGGGUUGGAUCCAUGGAGUAUCUUUUUCUAGUAUGCAUCUUGGCUGAGAUGCAUAGAGAUCUGGAGCCUUCAAGUCAGAAAUCAUCAAAUUUUCAGGGUUGGACCCUUUUGAAAUUUCUCCUUGGUCUCGCCUUUUCUUUAUUUGUUUUUGUGCUGCAAGGGCAUCUUUCCUUUCCCAAACCAUUUUUGCGAUAUCAAAAUCAUNNNNNNNNNNNNNNNNNNNNNNNNNNNNNNNNNNNNNNNNNNNNNNNNNNNNNNNNNNNNNNNNNNNNNNNNNNNNNNNNNNNNNNNNNNNNNNNNNNNNNNNNNNNNNNNNNNNNNNNNNNNNNNCAGAAAAGGUGUAGUCUAAUUUAGGUGGGGAAUAUGCUUGUGGAGACAUGGGGAAGAAGGUAGGUUUUGAGGAGUAGACUGGGGUUUUUUGUGGCUCAAAGUGUUCAUUUAUCAGGAGUUGAAUUUUUUCUUUGAUGGAAAUCGUUUCCUUUUGUUGUUGUUGGAAGACUUGGAAAAGUGAAGUUCCUGGCGAACAAAUCUCGUAUUGUAAAUUUUUCAAUCUUAGUUCCAAGACAUUGAUUAGUCCGUCAUGGUGAGAUGAUGUAUGCUACAUCUUUUUCUCAAUUGUUUCAAUCUUGCUCAUCAUUUUAUUUUGUGUAUGGGCCACAUUCUUUAUAGUGUUGCCAAUGUUGUUCAGCACCUUGUUUUGGCAGAUGGAGUUUUCUGAUUGCCAGUUCAUUGUUGCCUCGAUGUCACUUGUUGGGGGUUUUUCUCCAGUAGGUCGCACUGUGUUUUUCUUGGGAAUUUUUGGAGCAUGGCUUAUACCCUCUUUUUCAAAAGGUUGAAGUGAUGGAAAGUCUAGGGUAUGACUGGAGCUUGAAGGACUUAGCAUGAAUAUAUGUGGUUGUGUGGGAUUUGUGUUCUUUUGAGUUGGUGAUGUUUUAGGUUCAGGUGGCUUUUUGGAUUCUGGGGUAUGGACUGAUGAUGAUGGUGAUUUGGGUAUGGUUUCACUAUCCUCCCAACUUGAAAUGAAUUUUUCUAUUAAUUUUGGCCAUUCCUGGGGUUUGUUACUGACAAGAAAUUCAUAUUUACCUGGACAGCUUAAUGAACCAAUAGAAGGAUCUUUAUUUUCAUAUUUGGCUCGAAAUUGUUUUUUUUCAGUUUUCCUUUUAUCCUUGGAUUUUGGUUUGGUUUGAUUGAGGCCUACCCUUUCAUCAUAUUCUCUAAUUGGAUCUUCCAAACAGUCCUGAUAAUUGUAAUCGAGAUCCCAAGGUAGUGUCCCGUAAAAGGGGCAUUUGAACCACAAAGUUCUUUUUCCUUCUUUGUCAAAAUUUUGACACCAAUCAUGUUGUUUCAUGAUGCUUUGUAUAUUACAAAAGAACUCUCCAUCCGGUUCAGGAUAUGUAUCUGUUGUACUUUUGGGUUGAAUCAUUUGGCAAGAGAAGAUGGUUUUAUUUGAUUUUUUGAGAUGGGAAUGGUCAAAGCUUAUGCAAAAAGUAUUGUCAUCUCUUUUGGUAAAAGUUGGUUCACCAGAUUGCAGAGAUUCCUCCGAUUCUCUUAGUUUUUUAAUAAUUUGAGAUCCAGCAAUCAUGAAGAAUUUUUACAAGUUUAUCUCUGGAAAUUUGUCUGGGUAUUUGGGUGCACAUGGAUUUUCCUUUGGUAGCAUCUAUGUUUAAGAGUAAAGCGUUUUAUCCUCCGGGAAGGCAAAGAUCCAUGGCGUGAUUUUGAACUCGCCAUGCCAUUUGGUGGUAAAUGGUAGCUUGGAUGGAAUCUUUGGCUUGUGGGGCUCCCUGGAUUUGGACUUGGAUUUUUAAGGCUUCGGUUAGGUACGAGUCAUAAAGGGACAUGUUGAAAUUUGGAAAGAUGGUAAUGAAGACAGUUGCAACAUUUAGGGUAACUUCUACAGUACCCAAAUUUGCAAGUUGGUACUCCAAGUAUCUUAUAUCUAGAAGAGAAAGUUGGGAUACAACAGGUUCACCAUUUCUGCUGUGAUAUGUUAAAGCGAUUCGGAUAGCACCAAAAUGGAUAUGGGUAAAACCGUGAUCUCUCCAUUGUCUGGGAAAGUCAUCUGGAAUUUGAAGGGUGAUAAAUUGUUUCUCUCGAGUGGCAAGAAUAGGAUGCUGGUCAAGCUUUGAGGAAGCAACAUACUCUUUAACUCCUUUUGGUAAGUGUUGGAUUAAGCAACGGAUUCGGGUCCAGGGUGCAAAGGAUUUUUUGGCGAAAGCUGAGUAGGGUUUUAUGAGGGGUAGUUCGGUGGAGGAUACUUUUUGUUCGUCGGGUAGGAUAUCUACUUCGUAUAGGUAAUCAUAUUUUUUAGACAGGGUUUUGUAUAGAGUGGGAGACAUAUUCAUUUUUGCUAGGGAAGAGGAUGAUGGAAAUGACUCAGACAUAUUUAGUAAACUGUUCCUCCCUCCAAAAUAAUGGGCUGGCUCUGAUACUAUAGUAUAAAGAAUAGAGUAAGAGACUACAGAGUAUAAAGAACAGAGUAAGAGACUCUAAGAAAGCAAACUAUACCAUAGAUAUGAAAGUUUCCCUACAAAAGGGGCUGGCUUCAACAACUCAUAAGGGACGGCUAAGCAUUGGAUAUCCCCUUUGUUCUUGUACAAGGGGCACACUGUACUCCACCUCCACUCCCCCGUCAUCCUCUUGCUCCGGAAGAUCACAUUGAACAACCUGGACAGCUACUCCACUCUUGAUCUACCCAUGCAUUUCCAAAACUCCACCGGGAUUUUUCCAGGCUUGGUUUUCAUGGAAAUUAGUAUGAAUUUGAAAGAACAGUCUCAGUUGAAAGCAUUAAAUUUGAAAGGUUUGACUAAGAGUUGACUUAUUUGGAUAUGAUAGAAAUUUUUAUGAUUUGAUUAGCUUCGUUGGGUGAUUUAUGACUCAGGAGUGUGAUUGGAAUUGAUUUUGGAGGUUUGGUGUAGAAUUAGGCUUGAAUUGGCGAAGUUAGUAUUUUGGCGAUUUCCGGUUGAUAGGUAAGAUUUUGAUCCAAAGUAUAAAGAAUAGAGUAAGAGACUCUAAGAAAGCAAACUAUACUAUAGAUAUGAAAGUUUCCCUACAAAAGGGGCUGGCUUCAACAACCCAUAAGGGACGGCUAAGCAUUGGAUAUCCCUUUUGUUCUUGUACAAGGGAACUACUGUACUCCACCUCCACUCCUCCGAAAUCCUCUUGCUCCGGAAGAUCACAUUGAACAACCUGGACAGCCACUCCACUCUUGAUCUACCCUUGUAUUUCCAAAACUCCACCGGGAUUUUCCCAGGCUUGGUUUUCAUGGAAUUAGUAUGAAUUUGAAAGAACAGUCUAAGUUGAAAGCUUUAAAUUUGAAAGGUUUGACCAAGAGUUGACUUAUUUGUAUAUGAGCUCAGAUAGAAAUUUUUAUGAUUUGGUUAGCUUCGUUGGGUGAUUUAUGACUCAAUAGUGUGAUUGGAAUUGAUUAUGGAGGUUUGGUGUAGAAUUAGGCUUGAAUUGGCGAAGUUAGUAUUUUGGCGAUUUCCGGUUGAUAGGUGAGAUUUUGAUCCAAAGGUCAGAAUGGAAUUCCGAGAGUUGCUGUAGCUUUGUUAUAUGAUUUGGGAUGUGUGUGCAAAAUUUUAGGUUAUUCGGACGUGGUUUGGUUGGGUUUCAAAAGUGUGUUUCGGAAGUUUUUAACAACCUUAGGCUCGAAUUCAAUGUGAAUUGAUGGAUUCGGUGUUGAUUGAGGUAUUUUGAUGAAUGGAACAAGAUUGAAUGAGGUUUUAGUAUGUGUUAGUGCUUAUGGUUGUGGUCCCGGGUGCCUCGGGUGAGUUUCGGAUGGCCAAUUGGACCAUUUUUUGACUUAUGAGAUUGGUUUUGGCUGAUUAGGUAUUGCAAAGUUUUGGCCUUCGCGAUCACAUAAGUUGUGUCGCGAUCGCGUAGAAAGAAAUUUGAGGGCUGGUAAUUUGCACUUCGCGUUCGCGUCUGAGGGUCCGCGUUUGCAGAAGGCUAGUUCAUUGCAUUCACAUAAGGCCUCUCGUGUUCGCAUAUUACAAUGUGUGGAUCAGGGGUCCUUAACCUUCACGUUCGCAACUGGAGUCCCGUGUUCGCAUAGAUUGGAAAAGGAAUGCAUCGCGUUUGCAUAGCAGGCAUCACGUUCGCAUAGUGCAUUUUAAGGUCUUGGAAGUUUUGCUCUUCACGAUUGCGAGGCUUGGGCCACGAUCGCGAUGAGGGAAAUCCAGAACUAGGCAGUGAGUUUAUUAAAAUAUUUUAUUUGCGAUUUUGAGCCAUUUUCCAUCAUAGUUGAUCAUUGUGAGAGCUUUUUGAGGGAGAUUGAAGAGGGAUUCAAGGAGAAGUGAUUGGAGGUAAGAUUUAUGAACCUAAAACGUGAUUUUAUUGCGAAAUUAACCUAGACAUUUAUGGAACUUAAACAAAAAUAAAAGAACUAGGGCUUGGGAUAUUGAAAUUUUAAAUUGGGAUUUGAAGGACCAUUUGAGGUCGAAUUUGAGAACUUUUGGUAUGUAUGAACUUGUAGGAGGAUAAGAAAUCCCUUGAUGUGAAAGUUUCUGAGUUUUGAGAAGUGGGUCCGGGGCUCGGGUUUUGCUAAUUUUGGGAUUUUCGAUAUUUUUCGAUUGUUUUUGCUUGGGUUUUGUUCCAUUAGCAUAUUGUGAUGUAUUCGUUCUGAUUUUGGAUAGAUUCGACGCACGUGGAGGCCGAUUCGAGGGGAAAAGGCAUCGCGAGCUAGUGAUGUAGCCGGUUCGAGGUGAGUAAUGAUUGUAAAUGAUAUUCUGAGGGUUUAAAAUCCCUGAUUGCAUAUCGUAGUACUAUAUUAAGGUGAGACACGCACUUGAUGAUGAGCGUGGGGUCAUUAACUACUGAGGAUUGUGAGUUGGUCUAGCGGUGGGCAUAUAUCGGGUAAAAUCGAUAACCCGAAUCGUUAAUUAUUUAUUUGUUUAUAGGUUAACGGUUCGGUAACAGGUUAAAAAUCUUUUUUAUUGGGUUAUCGGUUCGGGAUUGGUUUGCAAUUCUGUUAUUGGGUAAAAACCGAUAACCCAAUAAGAGUUAACUAAUUUACUAGUUUACCCUUAAGUAUAUGCAUAUUAUACUAAGGUUCUAUAAUUGGUUUUCCUAUUCUUUCUCAAUUCUCAGCAAGUUAAUUUAUUUUUCUCAGUUUCUCAAUUUUCCCGCCGCACUCGUACGGCCCAACCACACUAGUUCUCUGCCUCACCACGGCUCACGCCCCCACCAGUUCUCCGCCUCAUGGCUCACACCCUCACCAGUCACUAGUCAUCUCGUCAAGACUCGGGCCAACCCCACUCAUCAGUCACAUCACGCCUUCACUAGUCAAGACUUAGACCGGCGUGUAGGUUUUUUGUUGCUUAGUCUUCAUAUUUUUCUUAGUUUGUUUGAAAGUAUUCUGGCUCUGAAAUUUUUUUUGGGGUUGUGCUGUGUGUAUGCGUGCUGCUAUUGUUUGAGAUGUUGUUCUAAUCAUUUGUCUAGUCUUUAAACAUAUUUGGAGAUUCUGUUUUAUGAGAAAUGAAAUGAGCUUUGACAAGAAAUGUAUAAAUUUGGUGUUGUUGCAUUAUCCAUUUAUAAUUUUAACAAGUAUUUCUUUUUUUUGGAAUAUUAAGAAUCCUAAGAAGUAAAAUUCUGUUUAACUGUUCUUAAGGAUACAAGACCAUGUUUUAUUAACAAUUCCACCUUUAUAAUCCUAUAUUUAUGAAUCAGAAAGUUGUCAAAGACAACAGAAAUCUGAUUUAUUUCUUGACUUCUGGCUCAAUAUAAUUGAGAACUCGACAGUUUUAUGUAUUGUAAAAUUAUUUAGCUGUUUUAUCUUAUCGGGUAAACCGAUAACCAAACUGAUAAUGAUCAAUAACUAAUUAAUCCAUAACCAAUAUCUUAUUGGUUUGGUUAUCGGGUUAUGGUAUUUGUAAACCGAUAACCGAUAGGUAAAACCGAUAUUAUUCAAAAUCGAACCGAACCGACCGAUGCCCACCCCUAACUUGGUCCGUCCCGAUUAAUGAUUUUACCGUGUAGUUAACUGUAACUUAUUUGUUAUCAUCAUGAUUUGGGCUGAUUGCCAUAUUUGGGCUUCGUGCCAGCUAUUUGAAUCCCUUCAGGGAUGAUUGUUGAUAUUUACUCACUGUUUUGAUUUUAUACUUGAACUAAGUCAUUUAUUUUUCACUGUUUUCAAAAAUCAGCCAAGUUUAUUUUGUUUUAGCACUUGAAAUAAUAUUUUCAAUAAUAUUUUUUGGCUGAGCAUCAUAUUUUACUAUUGCCCGAGUGACUUAUGUGAUUUCUGACUGAGUAAAGCCGAGGGCCUAUAUUGUGAGGGAUACUUUUGGAUCGGGAUGCACGUUGCAUCAGUAAGAUACUGAUUUGAUUAUGAAGCCGAGGGUCUGAGACAUGUACGCCACGAGGUGUCUUGUGAUUGAUAUGAGGCCGAGGGCCUAGAUUUGAUGCCACGAGAUGGCUUGAUGUUGUGCUUGGGGCAUAAGGGGCCCCUCUCGGAGUAUGUACACCCCCAAUGAGCACCGUCAAUGAGAUAUAUGGAUCGAGCUGCACGCUGCAACAAUAUAUGGAUCAGGCUGCACACCGCAUUGGUGCUGGUACCGUACUACAUGUUUACUUUAUUUCAUUUGUGUGCAAUUAUUUGUUAUUUGUGCUAUUUCAUGUGAUGUCUACCUGAUUGCCUGCCAUUAUCUAUUAAUUGAGUAUUGUGACCGAGGGGCGGAUCUCUGUGCUUAUUUGUACUAUUUGUUUGGCAUUCAUUUGCGUAACUGUUGGAAAAGUCGUUUUCAAAAGAGGUUUAAACUGAGCUAAGAAGUUUUUCUAAAGAUUUCACAGCUUCAUUAUGUUUCCUCAAAGGGUUUUACACUGCUCUAUACAACAUGAUGGUUUGUCUUAUGUGAUUUCUUACUGCUUAGUUAUUAUUUACCUUUAUUACUCACUGAAUUGGAGUACUCACUUUACUCACUGCACCUCAUGUGCAGAUGUAGGUAUUCGUUCACCUGAUAGCGGGUUUUGAGCUGAUCGGAGGCUAAGUUAUCGGAGUUUAGCGAGGUGAUUGCCAGCGUUUGCAGCAUCACACUUCUUCACUUUGUUUAUCAGUCCUAUUUUAUAUAUUUCAGUCCUUGUAGUUGUAUUUAUACUCUAUUAAAUGCUCGUGACUUGUGUCAACCCGGUUUGAGCUGUGUUUGGUUGUAUUCCGCACUUUAUAAAGAAAACUUAUGUAUAGACUGUGGUUAUUUAAUUAUGCGAAAACUGUUUAUGAAUAUUAACUAUUCUGAAAAGGCCAAAUGUGUUAGUUGGCUGGUCUUGUCUUCACGAGAGACGCCAUCAGGACGGGAUCAGGAUUUGGAUCGUGACAUUCUCUUAUUCUCAUUUUCAACCUUCCAAACAUUUUUCUUAAGGGGUGUUUCAUAAAAUCUACUUCUCAUAUUUUGCUUCUUUCUUUUUUAUUUUUUAUUUUUUUAAUUUUUAGUUGUUAAACACAAAUUUGUGUAUAACUAACUUUGUUUUCUCUUCAUCAAUAUAUGUAAUUAUGAAGAAUAAAUACAAUCUAAACUCAUGUCUUUCUUUUUGCUAUAUAAAAAGUGUGACAAAUCAUAAAGUUCAUAGUAUGUUCAUGAAUUGAUAACAAAAAAAUAAUACAAAUUUAUAACACUAUUAGAAUAUACCUUUUCCGACUGCAAAUUCUGACUACAAAAUGUCAGUCGCAAUUUUUCGACUACUAUAGUCGAAAAUAUCAUAUUUAUCUUUUAAUUUAUUUUAAGAAUUAUUAUGAAUACGUUUUUGCCUACGUUUCGCGGGAUAUCACGCGCUUAGAGGUUUCCAACUACCGUAGUCGAAACAUGAGAUAGUAAAGUCAAAAGCACUUUUGACCAAGUGGUCCCCAUAAUUGUUUUAACUGAAAAAAUUAAAUAAUAUUUAAUUUUCGACUACAGUAAUCUCGGAAACUUUAAGUUAUUUUCCUCUAACCCUUAUGUUCUAUUUUUUUCACAAUCUCUCUCUUACUCUGUCUCUUUCUCUGUAUCUCCUAGCCUUUCUCUCAACGGCACUGGCAAAAUCGGGACUUCAUCAGGUAAACUCUCUCUCUUUCCCGUCUAAUCUUCAGCCAAGACAAGGGUUUCGAUUUUAAUCAGAGCUUUUCAUUCUCUUCACAAUUCUUUGUCAAAAUCUGCCGAGGUCUUAAUUAAGUACUGCUGCCGAGGUCUGCAAACAUACAUUAGGUUAAUAACGACACAAAUACCUAGAAAAUUUCUUUUCACUUCCAUAUAUAAUUGCAUAUAACGUGCAUAAUCUGAUAGUAAUGUGGUAGUUCCUACCAGUAAAAAGAGGGUGAGGGAACCUCAUACUCGGUGGUGCCUUCAAUUAUAAAGUACAGUAUAUAUUUACUGGUUAAUUUGUUGUUUAAUCCUUUUUAUUUCCUAAAGAAAAUUAAAUUUCGUUGUUUGUUUCUUGAGCAUUCAAUGUAGACUGAUCAUCUAAUUUUCUUGAGUAGCUAAUUAUAUUUGAUUUAGGAGAUAAGUUAUAUAGUCUAAAGAUCAAUUUAUACAGUAUAUAAAUUUAUACAGUAUAUCAAUUUAUACAGUAUACAUGUGUAUUUUGAUUGGUUUCCUCUAUCUUUCAUAUUAUCGUAUCAAGAGUUAAUAUUGUAAAUCAACAUUAUCAAAUUGAGUCCCUGGCCAUGUCGUAUCCCGAAUAGAUGUGCAUUUAGAAUUUUUAUAUUAGUUGGUGUGACUUGGAUAAGAGAGACGUGUCUCAAAAGUGGAUCUAAGAUUUUUAUAAUAUAGGUGCACCACUAAAAAAAGAGAAAAAGAAACUUUAAAGUAUGAAUUGAUCCCUACUCCUUCAGGUAAAUAACUCAUCAUUCAACCAAGUGCACCAUUUAGCCUCUUUGGAGCAUGGGUGCCAUCAGAGAAUACUAGACUAAUUCCAAUAAAAAUGUACAUAAAAUAUCUAGUUUGACGGAAAAAACAUGGGUUCACAUGCCACAUCAAUUUGCCUACAAAUCCGUCCCCGUCAGCCGGGCUUGGGCCGGUCCUGGCAGGCCUGGCGGGCCUAAACGGGUCCAACGACUAUUUUUUAAAAAAAAGUUUUUUUAUUUAAAAUAAGUAAUGGUCAUAUUUAAAAUAUAGCCUUUUGGGCUGAAAAUAUGUCCGUUUGGAAGUUUACAAAAUAGCCAUUUGGCCCCCAAACUUGGCGGAUCUAGGAUUUUUAUAACAUAGGUGCACCACUAAAAAAAAGAGGAAAAAAAACCUUAAAGUAGGAUUUGAUCCCUAGUCCUGCAGGUAAAUAACUCAUCAUUCAACCAAGUGCACCAUUUAGCCUCUUUGGAGCAUGGGUGCCAGCAAAGAAUACUAGACUAAUUCCAAUAAAAUUGUACAUAAAAUAUCUAGUUUGACGGAAAGAACAUGGGUUCACAUGCCACGUCAAUUUGCCUACAAAUCCGCCCUGACGUGUCCCAUAACAUGCCAUCACCUCCUCUGCUGUCAUUGCUGUUUUCUUGAUAAAAAAACUCUGUUACUGUUAAGAGUAUGAGAAGGAGAAGAGUAAAAACUCCCUUCAAUAUUAGUAUUGUCAGUCACAUUCUUGUUAGCUUCUUGACCAUGCCAGCUUAAGCCUGAUGGAUGAUCACAUUGCAAUUGAAACAAGAAAUCUGAAUUUUUUUGGAAAGAACAUUCUGCUCAAAGAUUGACAUUCUUCAUCAAAGAAAGCUCCCACAAAUUCCAUUGUGUUUUUAUUUUGAAAGGCUGGUAAGGAGGGGAGAAUGACCAGUGGCUUGCUAAAUAUAACCACUAAAUAUUCUCAAAAGUGAUACAUUGAUGCUUCUCUUCCAAUGAUCGAGUACAUUGGCAAACUUUAUCAUUCCAGAAGUAUAAGCUUGGAUUGGAGAUAUCAUACUUUUACUUGGAUUGGGAAUAAGCAACAACAAAUGACAUUAAUGCUUCAGAACCUCUGUGAUAGUAGGACCUUGCACCUCUUGUGUACGAGGUUAUUGGAUUAUACUUUUUAUCGGUAUUUGUAAAAUACUGGCAUGAUAUGAGUUUGUCACUACUACUAGUUUUUUUAUGUUGUAUAUAGUUCACGUAAAGGCUCUUUUUCUUUUUGAUCUUAUUUAGUCCUAGUAAUAUUUAGAUAGAAAAAAAUAAUAUCUUAUGUUCUCAUCCCAUAUUUACGUUCACUCAUACAGGUCAUCUUGAUUUUGUAGAAGCCUAACGAGUACAAAGGUUGAUAACUAAAGGAAGGUUGGCACUAUCGGUUUAUCAUCCAUUUUGACUUUUAUUUUUUAGUUUCUUCCUUGCUGUGACAGGUAUAUCUAUAUAUCUUUUUUUUAAAAAUAUAUGUUUAUGAAAAAUAUAUCUUUAUAUAAGUUAUAGGACUUGCCUCAUUCUUCAUGGUACCUUGUUUGCCAAUAAUUAAAUGGUUGAGUUUUAUUUGUGUAAAUUUUAAAGUUUGGUUUCACUUUGAUGCUAGGAGUUAACUAUUAAUUUAAAUUUAUAUGUUAUUCAUUUCAGUUUAAGUUUGAAUGAAAUAAUGAAAUAAUACUAUAUAAUCAUUACAGUAUUUAGCAUAGUACUAAGUGCAAUUUCUCUGAAUAUUAUUGCUGUUGCAAAUUUAACUAGUCAAUUGGACAUGUGAGACUUCUCUUGUUGAAUUUUGAUUCCGAUAUAAACUAGUAGAUAUACUUUUGAAUAUAAUCAAUCUAAUUUUUGUUGUGAAAUUUUAUAUUUAUAGAGUCAUUCAUAGUUAAAAUAUUGAAGGUAUUACAAUUAUUCAAAGUAGGAACCUUUAGAAGAAUAUCUCAAUAGUUUUUUCUUUUGAUGUAGAUGGAAUUUGAGCAUCAUAAAUGGAUAUAUAUUAUGGACUCAUCCUAAUCGUGCGGGAUUGAGAGAGGAAUUUAUAGAAGGGGUUUCGGGGUUUAUUGCUAAGGCGAAAUCGCUAAAUGAUUUUCUUAUUGAAGGACAAUUAUGUGCCCUUGUAUUAAAUGCAAGCGUGUCAAGUUAUUGAGACCAGAUGCAGUUGAACUUCAUCUUUACAAGAAUGAAUUUAUAGAAAAUUAUUAUGUGUGGACUGUUCAAAGGGAGAAUCAUGAUUUCAUAAUUCUUUUGGUGGUGAGAAUAGUCCCAUAAUAGAAAAUAAUUUUGAAAAUUCUCGAUUCAAUGAAAUGAUGAGAGAUGCGUUUGAUAUGUUCUCAGGGGCUCACUUCGAACUAAAUGACGAGGCUAAGCAUUUUUAUGAACAACUAGAGAAAGCUAGUCGUCCAUUGUAUGAAGGCUCAAUGCAUUCCAAGUUGUCUGUUACAGUUAUACUACUAACUAUCAAAUUCGAUAGUUCUAUUUCUCAAGUGGGCAUGGAUUCUAUCACUGGGAUUAUGAAUAAACUAAAUCCGAAUAAAAUUGAUUUACCCAAAAAUUUCUAUACUGAAAAAAAAUUGGUGUCCAAGUUAGGACUUUCAUCAUAGAGGAUUGACUGUUAUGAGAAAGGAUGCAUGUUAUUUUAUAAGAAUGAUGCAGCGUCAGAAAACUAUAAGUUUUGGAACCAACCUCGUUAUAAGGAGGUUACAAAUGCUAAUAGGAAGAAGGUUCCAUUGAAGGCUAUGCAUUACUUACCCCUUAUACCAAGGUUAAAGAGGUUGUAUGCAUCAAUGAGCUCCGCUCCUCAUAUGAGAUGGCACUAUGAAUAUGGAAGGCCAACCGGUGUUCUACGUCACCCGUCAAAUGGAGAAGCAUGAAAGCAUUUUGAUAGGAUAUUCUCGGACUUUGCAAGUGAACCAAGAAAUAUUAGGUUAGGAUUAUGUGCCGAUGGAUUCACUCCAUUUGCAGUAUCUGCCGCACCAUAUUCAUGUUGGUCACUGUUUGUUUCGCCGUAUAAUCUUACUCCAGAGUUUUAUAUGACAAGUCCAUAUUUGUUCCUAACUUGCAUUAUUCCAGGUCCACGCAAUCCAAAAAGUUUGAUUGAUGUAUACAUGCAGCCGUUAAUUGAUGCGUUAAAGUUAUUGUCGCAUCAAGGUGUGGAAGCCUAUGAUAUAUCAACUAAACAGAACUUCAGAUUGCGUGCCGCUUUAAUGUGGAUUAUAAAUGUGAAAGGAGAGGGUAUUCUGCUGAGAUGAUGCCUUGUUCCGGUUUGGGACUUGUCUUGGUUCUUGUGAUUAUUUUCCAUGUCAUUUUUUAUCCAGUAGCAUCAGAAGAUGGUUAUCUGUUUGAUCUAGAAACAAGAAUAUAAGGGAUGUACCGAGAGAAAUUUAGCCACUUACAGAUUCUUGUUCUCUUUUUCCUGAUGUUUGGCAAUCUGGUUUCACAAAUGUAGCCGUUGAUUGAUGAGUUAAAGUUAUUGUGGUAUCAAGGUGUGAAAACCUAUGAUAUAUCAACUAAACAGUACUUCAAAUUGCAUGCUGCUUUAAUGUGGACUAUAAAUAAUUUUCCUGCUUAUGGAAUGCUAUCUAGGUGUUCGACUGCUUAAAAGUUAGCUUGCCCGACUUGCAUGGAAGACACAAAAGCGUUCACUUUAAAAUAUAGAGGUAAGAGCAUAUGGUUUGACUGUCAUAGUCAUUUCUUACCUAAGGAUCAUGAAUUUAGGAAAAACACUAGUGCAUCUAUGAAGAAUCAAACUGAUUAUGAAGAGCCACCUUCAGUCUUGUCACCAGAAGAAAUUUGGAACAAAGUUAGGGAUCUACCUAUGAUAGCAGAGUCUCCAUUGCCUAAUAAGAUAUCUGGUUAUGGUGUUACCCAUAACUGGACUAAACAUAGCAUAUUUUGGGAGUUAUCUUAGUGGAAGCAUAAUUUUCUAAGGUACAAUGUUGUCGUCAUGCAUAUUGAGAAGAAUGUUUUUGAUAACUUGUUUAAUACUAUGAUGGAAGAUAAAAGAUAAUUUGAAGGUCAGGAUGAACUUGAAUGAAUAUUGUAGGCGAAGUGAGUUCUACCUUACAUACUUGAACAACAAAAUUUAGAAGCCCAAGGCCAGUUACACAUUCACUUUAGAUGAGAGAGGAGAGAUUUGUUAGUGGAUUAAGAAUUUAAGUAUGCCAGAUGGAUACGGGUCACACAUAUAUAGGUGUGUUGAAGUGAAAGAAGGGAAACUGAUGUCAAUGAAAAGCCAUGAUUGUCACAUUUUCAUGGAAUAAUUGAUGCCUAUUGCGUUCAAUGCCUUGCCUGAUAUAAUAUGGAAGCCUAUCACAUAGAUAAGCUUACUUUUUAAGGAGUUGUGUUCUAGCAAAUUGAGAGUGGAGAAUAUAACUUACAUGGAGAGUAAUAUUCACUUAACUUUAAAUAAGUUGGCAAAAUUGUUUUCUCUUGGUUUCUUCGAUGUAAUGUAGCAUAUUCCAAUUCACCCUGCACAAGAUGCACGACUUGGAGGGCUAGUUCAGUAUAGAUGGAUAAUCCACUUGAAAGGUAAUACAUAAUUUUUAAUCAUUUCCCUUUAUUAAUUUUAAUGAAAUAUUGUUCCGUCUAAGAAAUCGUAAUAUGUAGGAUUAUUAACAAAUGUAAGCGGACCGUAAAAAAUAGAUCAAGAAUUGAGGUAUCUACACAAAUACGCAGGAUUUUUAUUCAUAUUAUUUUGAACAUGAUGUGUCAUGUUUGAGAAAUAGACCUAAUCGAUGUGAAGAUGGAGGAAGUAAUCCUUCAGCAUCACCAUUUUCCAUAUUCAAUCAACCAGGAAAAGGUGAUCCAAAAAGUAGUUCAAAACGAAUUUUGACUGAGAAGGAGCUAGAGUCAGCUACAAUACAUGUAAGAGUUGUCCCGAGGUCCAAUGUAUUAUAGGUAAAUAUAUAUUUAUAUUACCAAGUUCCAUACAAGAUUUAGCCUUAUUUUAACUAAUGAAUAUUAUAAUUGUGUGGGACAUGUACUUUGUGAGUACAUAUUGGUAGAAUGUUGUUUAUCCUAGGUUUUCAAAAUGGUUUAGAGAAUUUGUAAGUGUUACUUAAUAUUUAACAUGGUUUUUGUUAGUUGCAAAUAAAUUAUAUGUAAUUUAAAAUUCUAAAUGUUCUCUAAUUCUAUAUAGGUUCAUAAUCCAGCUAAUGGCAUACGUGAUCAAUUUCUGCAUGAUAUAGCUUGAGGACCUGAUCCUAGAGUCAGAAAAAUGUCUAGGUAUUGUGUUAAUAGGUAUAAAUUCCAUAUAGAAGAAUGGUCUAAGGGCAAUAAAACCAAUAAUAAUGGGGUGUGGGUAAAAGGUGAAGGGGAUGUUCAUUAUUAUGAUGUGAUUCAAGAGAUUUUAGAAUUCGAGUACAAUGUUAGUUGGCCAAAGAAAAAGUUCGAACUCUUUCGGUACAAGUGGUAUGAUCCAGCACCAUUGCACAAAAUGUAAAACAAGUGUAUUACACUCCUUAUCCUUUGUGCAAGAAUAAGUCCUCAUGGAGGGUGGUUAUUAAAACAAAACCCAUGGAUAGAGUGGAAGUUGAUGAUAUUUUGGAUGUAGCUUAUCAAAAUGACAUUUCAAAUGUUGAAGCAUUGGUAGAUGAUGAAUUCGUAGGUGAAUUAUACCAUAGUGAAGGCAUCUAUGAUGAACUUGUUAUUUCUGUCCUUAGAUCAAAUUGAAAUGAUGAUGGGAGGGAAUAUGAGGAGGAAGACCUACCAAAAGAUUAUGAAACAAGCGACGAGGAAGAAUUACUUGAUAGAAAUGAAACAAGCGAUGGAGAAGAAUUACUUAAUGACAGUGGAACAAGUGAUGAGGAAGACUCUAAUAAUAAAUAUGAAUCAAGUGAAGAUGAUUGACUUGUUGUAUUUUUAUUAUCUUUUUAAAUUUUAUAUUUAUCCUUAGUUAUCUAAUAUGUUGAAGAAUUGUUUUAUGUUUUUAUUAUGUCGUUAGGUUUUAUGCUAUUCUUUAAUUAUUUAAUUUAUUGAAAAUUACUUUAUGUGUUUAUUAUUUCUUUAAUUUUUAUGUUUUUCCUUAAUCAUCUAAUUUUUUGAGAAAUUACUUUAUAUUUUUAUUAUUUUUUAGAAUUUUUAUGUUUUUUUGCUUAAUCUUCUAAUAUGUUGAAGAUUUUAUCUCUUUUAUGCUUUUAUAUUUUUUUCCUGAUCAUCUAAUUCUUUAUAUUUUUAAUUAUUUUUUAUACAUCUAAUAUGUUGAAGAUUUGCUUUAUAUUUUUUUAUUAUGGUUAUAUUACGUAGAUGGCAUCUGGGGGUAGCGAUCGUCGACGCGGUAAGGGCAAGGACACUCAAUCACAAUCUCCAAUUGUAGGUCACUCCUCUACAUAUUGGGCCUCCUCCUACUUUUCCUCCUCAGUUAACUUCGUUUCCACCUACAUUUUUUAUGCCCCCACCUGGGCUUGUCCACAUUUCUGUAUCUUCAGCUGGCACGAACUCUGACUCUAACCUUAAUUUUAUUCUCAUACCAACUGUAACUUCUUCUCCUGGUUUUCAUAUUAGUCAAUAAGGUAGUUCCUCAGCACUGCCUACUUCAUUGACUCCAGCUGCAUUUCCGGCAUCAAGCACACUUAGCGUAUCUCGGUUAAAUAUUGGAGUCUCUGGCACACCAACAUCACCAUCCAUUGGUAGUGCUACACCGGCAGAUUCUCGGGGUCGAAGUGGUAAAGUGACUCCACAAUAUGAUGCAUAUGGUAGGCUGAUUAUCGUCCCGGAUGAGAAAGCUGGGUAAGUAAUCCUUAUGUUUAUUCUUAAUUCUGUUGAACAUACAUUUUACAUAUGUUAAU